Molecule: long non-coding RNA, 57284 nt
Filed under: Marmota monax (woodchuck)
Lineage: Eukaryota; Metazoa; Chordata; Mammalia; Rodentia; Sciuridae
Rfam family: tRNA (bases 44540-44608)
Source: RNAcentral
CUCCCAACCCCCAUGAAGAAUCACAGGUAUUCCCUGGUGGGGAAAGAGGUUCUGGAUCCUCCACACAUCCACUUGAUUUUCUGAGGCACUUGGUGAGGGUGGGGCCAGGGAGUGGGAAGAGAUGGAGGCACAGGCCACCCUCUGCCCCCUUGUGUCCCCAUGAGGUGUCAGGCAAGCAGUGAGGGUGGCCAUUGUGUGGGCUGGGGUGUGAUGCCCCUAGGGUCCUGCAACCUCCCGGUUCCAAUGACUGUAGUAUGGCAACAGCUUGUGUGGAUUCCUCCUUCUUCACUCCGUCUCUGCUCCCCAAAAUCCCCUCUGAUGCAGGGACAGGGAGAAGAUGUGAGACCUGCCAGGUAGGUGCUGCAGGGCUCAAAUCUGCCAGCUCACAUUCCUGUCCUGCGACCUCCCGCCUGCCCAUCUAGUCAGCAGAUGGAAGCCUGCCAUUUGUGAAUUCUGUGAACCCUGGUUGUUUUUUUCUUCUCUUUCCCAGUAAGGGUGGCUGAAGUUAGGGUGAUAGGACUAGAUGAUCUUUAGGACAAGUAGCCCUCUCCCUUGACCCACAGUGGCAACACGUAGAGAAACAUCAGUGUUUCAAGCAGUCGGCUGGAAAGCACACUGGGAACUUAGCAAUAUUUGGUCAGCCAACACCCAAGGCUCCUUUCAACCCUAAGAAGGUGAGUGGAAGGUGAGUCCAAUCCCGAGCAUUCAAAUAAAUGCAGAAAGAGCAACCUGUGGCUCACAGCUAUAAUUGUGAAGGUCAUCUGUUCCUGGGUAAAAACGAUUCUGAAUUAUCUUAGAUCUUUGCUACACCUAGCCUUUCAGCACUGUGAACUGUGAGGCUUCCCUUUCAAUAUCCUGAGAAGGGCAUGGAAACUAAAGUCACAACACUGAAGGGCAGUUGGUGGGCUGCAGUAACUGUGGUUCUGACUGCACCUGUAUACCUGUGAGCACACCUUUGGCAAUGGGCCUUUUUCUCCUCCUCCAGUCAGGCCUGGAAUUCAUUUCCCCACGUACUGACCCUGAGUGGCUCUAUGUGACUCCUUUUGGAAUAGUGUGUUUGAGGCAUGUCAUUGGUCACCUUCCUAGGGCCUGCCAGGGAAGAUGGCUUUUCUUAGUUUCUGCCCUUGUCUGUCAGCAGCUGGAGCUCUCUGUGCUAUGAAGAAUUCCAGAGUGAAAGUUCAAGUGCAGGGAGAGACCCGUCAGCCUGGCUGUUCCUGCCUUUCCUUCUGGGAUCUGAUAUUCUAAUGAGAUGGGCUUCUGAGUCCAGCCCACAUUCCCUGACUGCAAUGGCAUGAGAGAGCUCAGGUUGGUCCAGCAGGGCUUUGUGUGAUCCUCAGGUGAGCACAGGUAGCCUACUUGUGAUCCUCAGUUGAGACUACUUGUUUUCUUCAAUGCGCUCAACUACAUUUCACUUCUCUCAGCUUUUCUUAUUCAUCUACAAAUGUGAUAAAGCAAAGAUGACCCAAAUAGACUACUUAAAAUAGAGGAAUAAGAGAAUUUGCAGAAAUAUGCAUCAGCUCUAGGUUCAUACCUGGUAUAUCAUCAACUCUACUUCAUUUAUUUAGCUUAGGAAAGUUACAUGGCCAAGGCCAGCAUUAAAGAAUGUAAACGUGGUUCUGCUUAGAAUGAAAGAACACUGUAAAUUUCCACACAGUGCUGGGACUGGGGUUGUGGCUCAGUAGUAGAGAACUUGCAUAGCAUUUUUGAGGCACUGGGUCCAGUCCUCAGCACCACGUAAAAAUAAAUAAAUAAAAUAAAGAUAUUGUGUCCAUCUACAACUAAAAGAUUAUUUUUAAAAAAAUCCACAAACUGAUAAGAUAAUCGAGUGAGGAAUGAAAUAUUGGUGACAGGAAUAUUAUAUGAGCGUUGCCAGUACUUGUCUUAUGAAAAAUAGACAAUUGUUUUAAAUUAUUAAAAUUCAUUUUAAUACAUACACCUUUUAGGUUAAAAUACCAUUAUUAAUAUUGCAUCUAUACUUUAAACAUGUGCUGUAUGUUAAACAAUGCAUUCAUUACCUCAAUUAACACAGUAACAUUCUGAAAAAGGUUUUACUACUCUUAUUUAAGAAAAAAAUGAAAAGGAUAUAUAAUUAACAAUUACGUUUUUAAAAUUUUAUUCUAAGCUAUGUCUGGCUACAUUCAAACCUGAUGUUUUUCAAAAAAGGAUAAACUGGCUAGAUGUGGUGGUGCAUGUUUGCAAUCCUAGCAGCUUGGGAGGCUGAGGCAGGAGGAUGGCAAGUUCAAGGCCAGUCUCAGUAAUGUAGUAAGGCCCCAAACAACUUAGCAAGACCUGUCUCAAGAUAAAAAAAAUUAAAAGGGCUGAGUAUGUGGCUCAUAACUCCUGGGCUCAUUCCCCAGUAUCUAAACAACCAACCAACCAAAAAACAAAAGAAUAAAUGGUUAUUAAGCCAAUUUUACUUAGUUUAUUCUUUUUUGAAAAUAUGUUAGAUUCUCUACAUCAUAUUUUCUUUGAUCCUAUGGUAGUUCAAAUAUGCAAAAUAAUGACAGUCAUCAUUCAGAUUCACAUUCAACUUUAUUGAUGACUUUCCGUUUUCACUGCAUAUGUUGCAGGCGUUUUCAUUCUGGGAAUGACAUUAUUUGUAGAGGAAAGAAUUACUAACAACUGCAAAGCUAUUGAGUAUUUCUCAUGUGUCCCUCUGGUCUCAUUCCUAUUUAGAUGUGUGUAGGGACUAUAGAAUCAGAGCUAUCUCUACCCCCAUUAUUUCAGGUACCUGUGGGAAAAUAAUGGGCUUUGUGCAUGUGAAUCCCACAUGCAAUUUUGAAAAAUUACUCCCUUGUUCAUAUUUCUGCAAGACUAAAAUGAGAUGCCCAAGGUACAUGUUCACAGUGUUUAACAUCUGGUCAGUUUCUUGUGCUGCCUCUUAUUUCAAUAAAAUACUUGGAAUCUUUCCAAUUGCAGUCACAUCGAUUCCCAGAAUCCUUGUAAAAGUUUACUUAUAAGUGUAGGAUUGAAAGAUUAAAAUGAAAUGCAGUAUGUAAGCAAAACUUUAUUACAGUGGUGGCUGGUGGCAAGCAUUUGUGGCAACUUAAACUAGUCUGCUGUUCUAAUCACAGUGUAGCCAUUUAUUUAAUUUCCCUUUUCCUGUGAGGAAAUAUACUCCAACCCACUUAUUGAUGCUUAUGCCAUGUUAGUCAUUAUGUUAGGCAAUGGAAGAAAAGAUGAAUAAGAAUUGAUCCUUGCCCUUGAGGAACUCAUAAACAGAGACAGCCACUGUGGAAGCUUUUACAAGGAUAACUAUGAUCAGAGCUAUAACAGAGAUAUAAAAAUACUUCUAUGAAUACCUAAAGAAGCAAGACAUGAAGAGAUGUAAUGAGUUAGGUUUUGAAGCCUGAAUAGUAUUUUUAUAUAAUACAGAAAAUGAUCAUUCAUGAGCAACAAAUGAAAUUAUAUUAGGCAAAAAUGUUAAGGGGAAAAAAUGUGUGGGCAUAGGAGCAUGGACCAAUCCAAGGGACAAGGAGUACUUGCAGGGAUGAAGUAGAGAUUAAUAAAUAGGUUUGUAGUGGUGCAGUAAUGGGGGGAUUAAGCACCUUAUUAGUGAAUGUGAACUCUUUUACUAUAUUAAUUUUUUUUGAUUUGUUCACAUACACCUAACAGUUAAAAUAAUUGAACUAUAAUCCCAGUUCCAAUAUAUGCAUACAUAUUGAUACACUACAGUUAGCCAUCAUUAUUCAUGGAGAAUGGUUCCAGGAUCCCUGUGUAUGCCAAAACAUGUGGAUAAUCAAGUCCUUUGUUUAUAAUGAUACAGUACUUAAAUUGUCUUAUUAAAUAUGUAGAGAAAUGGACUGUGAACUGAAGAAAUAAUAAACCAUUUGAAAGCUAUUAAUCUGUCAAAAUAUUUUUCUUGAAAUUAUUGAGAAACUAUAAUUAAUAGACUUCAUUGUUAUAACUUUUCUGAAUCAUUGUAGAAUGAUCUAUAAUACAGCAAUUCAAAAGACUAGUAAAAGUUCAUUUCUAUAUGUUUGUUUUAAGUGCUGAUAUGCCUGAAGAAAGAAUUCAGAGAUAUAUGGAGCUCUAUUAAAAAAAGCAUGUCAUGGAAUACAUUUUUUAUUACAAAAUACCAGUUGUAUAAAUUGUGCAAAUUGUUUUUGCUGACAAUUACCAAAUUGAUGCUUGAAAUACUAUUGCUGAAAAUAAUAUUAAUUAGAAAAGCUACAUUAUUAUAUUUUAAGACUUUAUUUGAAAACCAUUGCAGCUAUUUGCUUAGAAUAUACAACAAUUUAAUUUUUUAAUGUAUAGAGAUAAGUUAUAUAAGCAGCAUAUUUAUAUUGUUUUGACAAAAUGAGAGAUAAAUCACAUGAAUAUUUCAAACAUCCAUUUUUGGAAUGUUCUUUCAAUAACAUAAGUUUCCUUUAAAAGGACUUUAUAAUUUACUCAUUAAAAUGUUAACAAGUCACUAUUUGGAAAUUCAGAUGGGUAUAAGGUUCUCACAGGAAAGAAUUAUCAGUUUUGAUAUUUUGAUGUUUUAAAUUUGUGCUUCAAUAUCAUUAUUAUCUAUGAUCUAUUGUCUAUUUCCAUUAAUAUCUUUAUGUCCUUUUUCUACUUUGUGACAUGUUAAUUCUUAUUAGAUAAAAUAAUCUUAAAGUAUAGUCAACAGAACAUAAGUAAACACAAUGGGUAGCAUGUGAUGACUGAGAAUAAAGUUUAUGGAACCACCCACUUUUCCCUUAGGUUAUCUUGACAUUCACAAACAGAAGGAAGUUAUUUGUAUGUCAUUGUAGACUAUUGCCAAUGAAUGGAUUAAUUAAAAGCAAUGCUUUUUUUAGUUUUCCUUAAAUAAGAUUUCUGGAUAAUAUUCUAAUAUUUUGUUAUAGACUACCUUUGUGCUGUAUGAACAAGUGCUAUUUGAUCCACAAAGCUCAAGAUCCCACAAUUGAAAAUGAUUUAUAAAGUAAGAUCAAAAACAUGUACACUGCAGGAUUUACCAAAGCAUUGGCAUUGUCACUUUCUGAAGAAGCUGCCACUGUUUUGUCAGAAGAAAAGGGACAACUUGUUAAUACCUAUCUAAAUUGUGAGUCCAGAGUUUCUUGCAUCCAUUAUUAAGUGGGCCUAGUCUCUCUUGGAUAAAUUGGAAAAUAAUGGGUUAUAGGAGAAAGAAAAAAGUACCUUAAGUCAGGGAUCAUUGAUUACCUAGCCGUCAGCAAAAGAGUUAAUACAAUGAAAGUAGGAGGAAGCACAUUCUGUGAAGCUUGGUAACAAUAACCAUCAGUAAUACUACAGAAAAGGAGUUUAGUACCAUGAAUGCCAGGACUCAAUCAUAUUUUUAGAUAUAUGUUUUUCAAAGAAAGGCAAAGUACCUGUGUUUGAGUGUGAAUCAAAAAGUUAAAAUUGUAACUAAUUGUUGCAGGCCCAAAUGGAAAUAGCAUAAUUCCUAAACAUGUCUUUGUGAAGUAAGGGGUCAAUUAUAGGUGUCGUUUGGCCAGGUAAUCCAGAAAUAUUUGGAGUCUUCCAGUGGAUUAAGAAACAAACAAACAAACAAGAAGAAUAUUUCUUCCUGUCCUUCAGGUGAUUAUUGUUUAAUGGGGCUAAAAACUUGCACACAUUGUUACAAAUAUUGAAUGUCUCACCUCUAACUGGUGGGAAAGUGAUUUCAGAUAAAUCUUGAAAAACGAAGUGGUGUGGAUCUUAAAAAACAAACAAACAAACAAACAAAAAAACUUACACAGUAGACAUGAAGGGGGGAAGUACAUGCUUGUUUCACCCAUUUAAAAACACAGUGUGUUUAGAAAAUGGUGAAAUAUGUUGUGUGGUUGAAAUGUAAGCAUGUUUUUAUAAAUAAGUAUGGAAAGAUGCUACUAAAAUAUGGUUUUGUAGGCUAGACUAUGGAUACCCUUGUAUAUUCAACUGACACUUAAUUAUCCUACCUUAUUCUAUAGCCUUCUUCUAGGAAAAGACCCUGACUUAUAACAGGUGAUAUAUGUAAUGUUCAACAAUACUGCCAGUUGUGGAGGCAAUGCCUAUAAUCCCAGUCUUUCAUGAGGCUGAGGCAGGAGGAUUGCAAGUUCCAGGUCAGCCUCAGCAAUUUAGCAAGGCCCUAAGCAACUCUUUGACUCUAAAUAAAAAAUAAAAAGACUGGGGAUGUGGCUCAGUUGUUAAGUAUCCCUGGGUUCAAUCCCGGGGAGGGGGGGGGGACAAAACAAAACAAACAAACAAAAAUAGUGUUCAUCAAAUGAAAGGUACUGCCUUUAAUUAGUAUAAUGAUUUUGAUUAACAUUAUACUCAGUCAUUUAAUUGGAUUCUAUUUUAUCUAGUCAUGACUAUUAGAUAAAUGGUCUAUGAGAAUAUAUAGAUUUUGAAACAGCAAAAAUUCAGUUAUAUUGGCUUCCUCAAGCAUCACUCCUAGUCUUCUGCCUCUAGGACUUUCUAGGACAUUGUAUAGCAGCAUAUUAUUGAUUAUCAUCUGUCAUUAACAACAGACAUCAAAAUCAGACAGAUUUAUUAACAUUUUUUUCCUUUUACUUACUACCAGCAUUAAAGAACUUAUUUUCUUAUGCAAUUAAUCAUAAUACUGAUAUUAUACUAUAGCCUGCUUGGUUAUUUCUUCUGUGAUUGAAAAGUGAUUUUAUGACCUAACACACUACUCCACCUUUCUCAGUGGGCCAACUUUGUAUAAUAAUUACAUGUCAUACUCAGCACCUAUUAUAUUUUGUUAUAACUAUUAAAGAGUUUUCCCUUAUAUGAAGCCUUGUCAUCUUUUCAAGGGUGAGUUAAAGGUAAAUCCACCCAACAUGAACCAGGCCUCUGGCCAUAAAUGAUUAGAUCAAGUAUAAGUAGCUAGCUAAAUAUAUUCUUGUGAAUUUGAAAUAUAGUGUAAAAUUUAGUUUCUCUUGAGGAAGAUGAAAAAAUCACCUGAUUACUUGUGAGUAGCUUUUCACUAUAUUUUAUGUCCAGUGUCUUUACUGUUUCAAAACAGAAAUAACCUGCUUGCCACUAGAGUUUAUAUAACACACACACAUAUUCACAUACACACACACACACACACACACACACACACUCAUUGUACAUAGAGAUAAGACUAGAAAGGCAAUUUUGAAAAUCUAGAGGGCAUUUCAAUUUGUUUCCAGUCCUUGAAACUUAACUGUAUUCAAGAACCUUGAGAUCCACAAAUUCAUUCCAUAGCCUUAUAUUUCAUAUCCCUAUUUAGCUCAAAUCAAUGCAAAAAAGCUUCUGUUAUUUACUACAUAAAUACUUGAUAGUAUUGAUUUGUUUAUACUUUUUAUCAGGGACCUUAAUUAAAUGUCUACUUUUUCAAUUUUAGUUUUAACUGAUCCAUAAUAGCAUAGAAUUAUGCAUAUUAAUAGGGCAAACACAUAAUGUUUGGUGAUACAUGUAUACAUUUGGUAAUAUUUAUGUCAGGUUAAACAUAUCUAUCUCUUUAAACAUUUAUCACUUAUUUUGAGUGAAAAUCUUCAAAGUCCCUUCUUCUAUUGUUUUGAAAUAUAUACUUCAUUACUACUAUACAUAGUCACUCUACUGUGCCAUAACACAUGAGAACUUCUUGCUACCAAUUCUAACUUCACAAUCAUUAUAAGCUCUACUUUUUAUACAGUCUUGUAAUCUAGCUGCAGGAUAUCACUUAAAGUAACACCAGUAACCAUUUAUAGAAGUAAUAUUUUUAGUAUAGUGAUCAUGUUUCCCUGAAUUACAAACAUUAUGUGUUUAAUAUAUAUCAAAGUCAAAUAUUAUGGUUUGAACAUUCAUAGGAUAUAUUUUUAAACUAACCAUGAAGUGAAAUAAUCCAGACUCAUAAAGUCAAGGGUUGAAUAUUUUUUUCUCAUAUGUAUAUUCUAGACAGAAGAAAAAGGAAAAAAAAAAUAAUUUCAUGAAAAUAUAAAGAUCAAUAGAGUAGAGGAAGGGGAUCCACAGGGAAGUAAUAGAGGAGGGCAUAGGGAAAUACUGGGGGAAUUAUGCUUGUACAUAGAUAUAAAAUUAUAAUGCACUAAUUGAAAUAAUACUAAAAACAACAAUAGUAGUAUACAUGAGAUCAGCAGAGUAAAACAAGUGGAUAGGGGAAGGAUCAGGGGAGAGGAAGGGGUAGUACUGCGGAAUGAGAUUGAUCAUGUUAUGUUAUGUGGACUUUAAAAUGUGGCACAACAAAUUUUACUAUUAUGUAUAAUUAUAAUGCAAUAAUAAAAUAACUAAAAUAUAAUAAACUUUUUAGCCAUGAGCACUUGAAAUCUAAUUUUUACACAUUUCAAUUAGUGAACUACUUUCCUCGACUGACAUGGAUAGUGUUGAUUGUUUUACCAGGAAUUCUAAUAAGAAUAUCCACAUUUCUGAAACUCCAUGUUCUGAAUGCAUUUUCUUUGCUUCCAAUUCCAGUUAUAAUGGCAUUAUAGCAAGGCUAAAAAAUAGUGCCAUCCAUGAUUUCUUUGCUUACAUAAAUUAUUAAGAAAGGUACUGGCAAUAUUUUAUCUGAAUACUUGGCUACGUAACAGAAACACUUGGACUAAACUACAAUGUUGAGCAAAGUUCACUCCCUCAAUACCAUUUCUCCUCCACAUUCUUACACAUAGAGUUAAAAUAAUGAAAAAGGAAAACAAAAACAAUACUUUAAAGUACAGAUUAAAUGUCAAACUAUGUAUUCACUAUGAAUUUUUGAAAGGAAACAGAUUAUAUUUCAUAGCUAUAUUGUCUGAGACAUCAGAUUGCUGUUGUAGAUCACACUUGAUUUUUCUGGCUUUUGAUCUUUACCAUCUACCAGCUGGACUCGAACAAUUUUGUAUCCUACUGUGUAGAAUUUGAUUGCCCACAGAUCUAUAAAAUUGCAGUGUUAUUAGGUAGCAAGCAAAACUAUUUUCUUGUGAUGACCAACAGAGGAAAGGUUAAAAAAACAACCUUUAGCUAUGGCCUCUGCUGAAAUGAAUGGAUUUUAUAUUGUACAUAUACAGGGAGACCCUUUAUCAACCUUGAUGAAUUUGGAUGGAGGAUCACAAGCCUCCAUCCUUUGUGGUAUACCACUAAAUAUUUCCAACUGUAUUAUGGAACAAAUUGCCCCCAUAAUAUUUAUCUCAACUUAAUUUCUGAAAGUAAAGUUUAUUUUAUUUUAAUAAAAUGUUAAAGCUAUCUAUUUAUUUUACAGGAGUACAGGGGAUUGAACCCAGAGGUACUUUACCACUGAGACACAUCCCCAGCUUUUUUUUAAAAUUUGAGACAGAACCUUGCUAAGAAUUGGUGAGGCUCGUCUGGAAAAAAACUAAGGAUUGAUACACAAGUAUUUGUGUUUUAUUUCCUUGAGUAGUUGACAUUUAAAUAGAGAUGAAGGGGAAGAGUAGGGGGAAAGGGUAAGCCAAAGUAAAUAAGUAUUAUAUAAGGAUGUAUAUUAUUAGGAAUUAAAGAAGAUGAUGACAAAGCAAAGAAAGUCAUGAAAAGGAAGGUGGUAUGAAGGACAUUCUAGAUGGAAAAGUGUGAGUGAAACCAGGGAAUCUGAAUAUCAUAGUGUAUAUUGCACAACAGAAAGUAAGUUGAUCUAGUUUGUGCUUAAGGCAUAAGAGGAAUCAGGGCUGGUCUAAAGAAGUUACCCAUUAGUACAUGAGGAUGAAUUAGAAGGAAUACUAAUUACAUAUGAUGUGUCUAACACACUGCAUAUGAGGCCCAAAGUCACAGACAUUUUUGUGUGUACACAGACACACACACACACACACACAGUAGCUUAUGGAUGUUCCUGGAAUAUUAUUGUAGGCAAUACAAACUGCCCCCAUUGCAGUUUUUCAUUCAGACAAGUUCCUAGGGACAUGAAUCAUUCUAGGGAGUCAGUCUCCUGUUUUAGCAUGUAAAACAACAGUUGUGUUCCCAAAAUGCAGCAACAUUUCAAACAAGUGUCUUUUAAUUAUAUGGAAGAGGGGGCCUAGCUUGAUCAGCAUGCCAUUCUCCCUAGGAUUCAAAUAUGCUUAGGCACAUCUGGAGGACAGGUGAGGAAAGCCCACAGGGUCUAUAUGUAGGAUAGACGGAAUCACUUUUUGGAAAAGAAAGUUUGUUUUGAAUGAAGAGGAUGUCAAAUCUACAUGGUUUUAGUACCUUUUUCUUUAGUCAUCCAACAGAGGAUACUUCUGAGUAUAGUUUAGUCUCUAUUUUUCAUUCUCAGGACUCAGCUUCACAUGUUUUCUUAUGAUCUACUUCCUAGUGAGGCAGGUGGUCUGCAAUUAAAACAGAAAAUCUGUCUAAUUUAACCCUCUAUAAUGUUACAGUGCAAGGCUGAACUACUAUGGGAUAUUAUGACUCAAAAUAAUAAGAAAAAGGGCCUUAUCUAUGGAUAUUCCUUAUGAUAUUAAAAUGAUACAAAUCAUAAAGUCAUGAGAUGUCAAACAAUGCUCUAAAGUUUUGAAGGGACUUCAGAAAUAUGCAACCUGUGUUUCUCAAAUUUACACAAUUAUAGUAUUACUAUAUGUCAAGAUUUUGCAAAUUGGGGUCUAUGGAAUCCUGGAAAUCCACAGAUAUAUUCUUAAUGGGCUACCAGUUUUCUACAAUAAGUUUUUAUUUGUUGUCUUUCCAUUUUAUUUAUCAACUGUAAAAAUAAUGUCAUCAUAUUCCAGAACAACUGGAUAAAAUGAACUAAGCAUUGUCAUAUAAUUUUAUUAACUACAUGAUGUUUUAAUUGUAGGCUAAUGAAAACGUGAGAUAGAUUAAAUAUGCAAACAAUGUAUUUGAAACUGAUGAGAGCAAUAUUAUUAUAUCACACAGUCCACAUGAAAAUUUCACACUAAUUUAAAUGGAGAAAACUUGUAAAAAUUGAGUUGCCCCAAGACACCAGGUGAGAUAGCCAUGUUGAAUACUCAUGAAGAAAUUGUAGUGUAGCAGUAGUCAUUACUAUGUUCAAUUGGUAAGGACUAAUGUAUUCAUUAGGAUGUAUAACCUUUUACAUAAAUUUAAUAUUAUAAAUUUGCAUUUUGGUGCAUGAAUGUUUUUAUUUACUUGGUAAAUAUGUUCAAAUUGUAUAGGUAUAUAAGACCUAUGAGGAUGUGUUUAUUAGAUUUCAGAUAGUGCACAUUUAACUAGUCAUUACAAAAAUUUUAAGAGUCAACACCUGAAAUGUUUUUCGCUCAUUUAUAUCCAAAUAUUUUUCAGUUUUGGGAAAAACCAAAACAAAAGUGUUUUGUACUCUUCUGAAAGAUAUAUUAAGUAUUUCAGAACCAUCUAAGGCAUGGCCAAUGUCUUGGCACCACUAACUCCAGAGUAAGACUAGACAAACUUUAUGUUCUCUAAUUAUGCCACUGUAAUUAAAAAAAAAAAAAAAUUAAGAGACAUGAGUGAAUAAUGCCAACUAAUUUAAAAUUGAGAUUGAACUGAGGAAUUUUCAUAAGAACAACUUUUAAUGUUGUUUUAAUUUCUUUUUGGAUCAUAUUCAGAUAUAACACAUAUCUAUAAAUAAGGCCUUGUGCUAUAUGCUGUCAAACCUAAGAGAAAGAUGUAUUCUUGCUUUGUAUAUGACUAAAAGAAGGAUCAGAGGAAUUAAGUCAUCCAAGGGUCAUAGAGUAAGGGGUAUGAUUGACACUUAUUUACAAGUCUUCUGACCCCAAGUCCCUUGAUCUUUCCACUUAUCAUACCAGAUCCUUCUGAAUUUAGUUCUUUGUUCUAUCUAAAAUUCACUUUUUAUAAACAAGUGAACUUUGCCCAUAUUCUCAGUAAAAAAAUAUGAUCUUUAAUUAGACGUCAGUGACCUACUGCAUGACUUGAGCUUUGAGAUAUUCUAGUUUCUCAAAUAAGUUCACAUUUAUCUUGACUUUUUAAACUUUUAUUAUUAAAUGUACAUAGUUCAAAUACUAUAAGAUAGUUAAAAUAUGCACCUUCCAAGUUUAAGUAUGGAAAUAUUUUAGUCAGCUUUUAUGAAUUUUACAUGCUUUUUUUUUUUGUACUGGCUAAUUGAACCCAGGGGUGCUUAAACAGUGAGCAACACCCUCAGCCCUUUUUAUUUUUUAUUUGGAGACAGGAUCUCACUAAGUUGCUUACGGCUUCACUAUAUUGCUGAGGCUGGUUUUGAACUUGUGAUCCUCCUGCCUCAGCCUACAGAGCCACUGGUAUUUUAGGAAAGCACCACUGUGUCAAGCUCUCCAAUUCUCUGGGGUCUUUUAAAAGGAUGGCUUACUUGAGUUGCAAAUUACCAGACUUUUUCAAGAUGGUAACAGAGUUUAUAUUUUUUCCUUAUUUUGUCAUUGAUUGAAAUAAUUUAUGUAACAAUGUCAACAGAUCUGACAAGUUUAACUGGAAAUUGCAAUCAAAAUCAUGCCUAAAAUAUUAAAAUUGUCAACUUUUAUAGAAUAAACUGUCACAAUUCAGUAAGAUGGAAGGAAAGGCAAAUACUUUCUUGAGGAGAAAAUCAAGGCUAAAAAGAUUAAAGAAUAAGAAAUUACUCUGAAUUUUCAAACAUUUAUAGAAGUAACUUCUUAUCAAGGCCCCCAUCCCUCCUAUGUAAUUUUAAUUGAAACCCUUCAUCUUAGACCUAUUUUAGCCCAGUAUUUGAAAUUCUAAUGUGAAAGAUCCUAAACUUUUUAUUUCCAUCAAAGAUAUCUCAUGGAGGGUAUGGGCAAUUGAACUAAGAGGUGCUUGACCACUGAGCCACAUCCCCAGCCUUAUUUUGUAUUUUACUUUGAGAGACAGACAGGGUCUCACUGAGUUGCUUAGUGCCUCACUAUAUUGCUGAGGCUGGCUUUGAACUUGUGAUCCUCCUGCCUCAGCCUUCCAAGCCCCUGGGAAGCAAAGACUUUUUUAAAAAUGUCAUUUGUUUCUAUUACUUGAAUUUUAGGGAUGUGAAUAUCUUAUAAAAUUAAUGUUGAGUUGUCAUCCUUCAUAAUAUAAAAUAUAUGCAGCAUGUUAUAGAAAUAUUUCUGAGGAAAAUAAUAUGGAGAUGAAUAGAAACUUUUAAUUCAUAAUCCUACAUUUAAAGAGAAAAUAUAUUAAACAUAUUGAGUGAAUUUUUAAUAGGCACACUUCUUUUGAGUGAGUGUGAGACAAUAUGAUUAAUUAGAAUACUUUAAUACAGAGCAACAAAGACACAGGUAUCCUUUUUUUAAAGCAAAGUUAAACUUUUUCAAAAUAUCUCUGAUAUCAUUUGCUAAAGCUAUAUAUCAUGUGAGGGAAGAAACAGGUUGUGAUGAAUUUCAAACAUUUUAGUGAACUUGUACAUUUUUAAGUGGGCCAUGAACUUGAAAUACAUCACUUUUAAAAAAUCACUUUGUGGGACCACUCUGAAAACGUAGAAUAAAACCACACCAUGUAUAAGAUAAUAAGCUGCAUUUUUCUCUUUUUAUAUGUGUUAAGGAGUUAACAGCCUCCAACUCCUGCCACAUAUUCAUGCCCUGCUGCAUAUGAAUGGGGAAAUAAGCACUCCCACAGAUACUUACAGGAAUGUAAAUUGACACAACAUUUUGGAUAGUAAUAUGGAAUACCUCUUACAUGUGGCAAAAAUUUACACAUGGCCACUCAUCUAUGAAACUUACUCUAAACUAUAGGAACAAUGGAUAGAAAAAAAUGGCAAGGGGGCAUUUGUUAAAUAUGCAUACUCAAAGAAACCAAAUAUUGCCCAAGGCUUAAAAAACUAUUUCAGGUAAGCUAAGAUUGUUUAUGGCUAAAUGGUAAAACUUUCUAUGUUUAUUAUACUUCCACUUCUCCUUUCCAUGGAUGAAAUUUUUUUUUAAAUAUCUUUUAUUUUUAUUUUUACAUGGUGCUGAGGAUCGAUCCCAGUGCCUCAUGCAUGGUAGGCAAGUGCUCUACCUCUGAGCCACAACCCCAGCCUCAUGGAUAAAAUCUUAACAUAAAAAAUUAUGUAGCAUUAUGGAUGCAGAGGAAGGGAAUCUGGAUCAAAUGUUAUCUUGUUCUAUGGGCACCUACCAGCCCCUUUAUAAGAUAUAGCUCACUUCUGGUUUGGGGGCAUGACACUCUGUUAGCAGCUGUUGAAAUGCCUAUAGUUAAUAUAUAACCUACAGUGUUUUCUCUUGGUAGAGUAAUGUGCAGGGGUUUCUAGAAGAAUAUCUAGCCAAUUAUUUUGCUGAUGAGGCUUCUCUUCAUGAUUCGUUGGUGUUGCUUAUACUGUGAAUUAUUCCAUAUAUUUCAUCUACUCUUUAGCUUUGGGAUAUUAAUCUUGAAGUCUUUGCAAUUUUGAUCCCAAGGAACAAUGCUAACUUAAUUCUAAUAUGCUGCCAGGGCAUGAUAGUGCAUGCCUUGAAUCCCAGCCACUCAGGAGGAUGAGGCAGGAGGAUCACAAGUUCAAAGCCAGCCUCAGCAAUAUAGCAAGACUCUGUCUCAAAAGGGAAAAAAAAAGACUGGAUUGUAGCUCAAUGGUAAAGCAUCCUUGAGUCCAAUCCCCAAUAACAAUAAACAAACAAACAAUCCUUAUUAGGCUAUUUUCUUUCCCCAGUUCCUGAUGGGAGCCUCUAGACCUGUUUCAUAUCUGAUGAAAAUUGUGACAAACCCUCUCCAUUAUCAAAUAUAUAAUAUCACCAUUCCUACUCUACUACAACCACUCCAAGUUUGUUUGGGGAGCUACUUUUUUUCAGAUUGCUAUAGGGGAAAGUAUAUAUAUUUAAAAAACCCUAUGCUUUAAGCUUCUCUUUCUUUUAGAAAUUUAUCAGUAAUGCUGUUUUGUCUCCCUCUUUUCAUCCCACCCCCUCUGCUUAAUCCCAGGACAAGGAUUUCUGGGAUGGGAACACUGAUCAUUAUUUAGAUGAUGUAGGCACUGUUUUUAUCCUCUUUGGCUCCUGUCAUAUUUCUCCCAGCAUGGAGAAGUUUUAUUCCCAUUCCUCUAUAACAGGAACUUUCCUUAAGUCACAAUCACUGUCCUCUCUACAUUGCAGAUUAUGGUAAAUAUCUGUGCUCAAAUGGAAGGUGUGUUCUUCAUAUGUACAGGAAAGUUUUCAAUUUUACAAAGCCUUUUUAUUUCUAAAAAAAAUCAUGGUAAGAGCUGGGGCUGUAAUUCAGUGGUUGAACACUCACCUAGUACAUGUGAGGCACUGGCUUUGAUCAUUAGUCAUUAGAAAUAUUUAAUUAUAUAUCUAGUCACAGAUAAAAAUGUCCAAAAUAGUGUUAAUACAAAAAGCAGUUUCAGGAACUGGAGCUGUGGGUCAGUGUUAGCAAUGUGUGAGGCACUGGAUUCGAUCCUCAGCACCACAUAAACAAAGUAAAAAUUCAUUGGCAACUAAAACAUAUUUUUUAAAAAGCAGUUGUCAUACAAUGUAUAUAAUAUUCAUUAGACUACAUAUCUUUUUGGAUACUAUUAUCGGGGAUUUUCAGUUUUCCUAUCAUAUUUCUUAUAAUCAUUGCAUUUUUAAUAAAGAAAAAAUAUAGAUACAAAGAUGUAACUAAAUAUAUCUUAAACCAACAAGCAGUGUCUCACCAGUAAAAUACUAGUGAUAUUCUUAUUAAAAAAGAAAAAGAAUGAAAAAUUGUAAGGCUCAUAUUUACUUUAAUAUCAUUCAGAAUGAAUUAGAUGUUGCAGUGAGAAAUGCAAUGAAAUUAGAAGACAGAAUUACUAUAAAGGUAGAAAAUAAAUUAUUAGUAUUGAUAAAUGACACAUUUGGUUAUAAUUCUAUAUAACAGACAAACUGUUAUAACUAAAAAGAUUUUAAAAAUGUGAUGUUUUAAAACAGGAAUAUAAAAAUCAUUGGCUAUCCAGUAAAAUAGUAAGCAAUUAUCAAACAAAUAAGUCACUCAUAUAUCAAUAGAAUAUACAAACAACCAAGUAAUAAAGUUAGGAAAAAAUGAAAAAGCUUUAGGAUAGAAAAUGAUGUUUUACAGAGAAAUAUAAAUGGUUGAAGACAAAAAUAUAAAACCUUUUUUAUGACCAGAUGAGAAUUUGUUAAGUUGGAAAGAUGUCAGUUUAAAAAUUAAAGAACAUUUGAAUUGUUUCCAAAUGACUUUAAAGAUUAAAUGUGCUUUGUAUGGGCUGGGGAUAUGGCUCAAGCGGUAGUGUGCUCGCCUGGCAUGCGUGCGGCCCGGGUUGGAUCCUCAGCACCACAUACAAACAAAGAUGUUGUGUCUGCCGAAAACUAAAAAAAUAAAUAUUAAAAUUAUCUCUCUCUUAAAAAAAUUAAAUGUGCUUGCAAAUAAAAUCAGAGUUUCAUAUAUGAACAUAUGAAAAAAAUAAAUCAACCUUGAAAUUAUGUCAAGUCUUUUUAGGUAUACAUGUUCUUGUGCUUGAAUGUGUCUCAUUAAAUCUCAGGUUUACCAAUGUGACAGAAUAAAAGAUGGAGUCUUUAAGAGGUGAUUAGUCCAUGAGGGCGCCUUCCUCACUAAAAGAAUUAAUGACCUUGUACAGUAGAAUCAUACAGCAUGUGGCUAGCUUUUUCUUCAGCUUUUCUGCCAUGUGUUCACAUAGAGGUCCACCCCUCUGUAAGAGGAAACAUCACCAUACAACAAAAGCCAAAGUUGCCUUGAGCUUGGAAUUUACAGUCUUCUGAAAAAUGAGAAAUUAAUCUUCCUUAAAAAUUACCCCAUCUCAGGUACUUUGUUAGUGCAGCACAAAAGGAACUGAAACAUAUUUUCUCAAAGUAUACAGAAAGGGUCUGGGCAACAUUCUAGGGCUGUAUAUGUACAUAUUUGAGUCAACGGGAAGAGCAAGGAAAUUUAAUUAAGCCAAAGUUGCUUAAUAUUAUGGCAUAAAACAUAAAAUAUCAUGAAGUCCUAUAGAUUUACUAAGCAAUGUUUUUUUGAGUUUUAUUUUUAUUUGUUUUAAUUGUGCAUGACAGUACAAUGAUCUUGACAUAUCAUACAUUUGAAUCAAAUGGGGUAUAAUUUCUCAUUUUUCUGAGUGUACAGGUUGCAGAAUCACAUUGGUCAUGCAGUCACAUAUAUACAUACAGCAAUACUAGUGUCUAUUUUAUUCUGCUGUCCUUCCUAUUCCCCCCCUUACCCUCCCCUCCCCUCCCAUCACCUCUCUAUCCAAUCUAAUGUGACACACUUUUUUUUUUCCUCACAUUUUCAUACAUGUAUUUUGUAUAGUGAUGAGGGUCUCCUUCCACUCAUGCUCUUCCUCCCUAUCCCAUUCUGAGUCACCCCACCCCCCAUUAUAUCAGAGAAGACAUUCGGCCUUUGAUUUUUAGGGAUUGGCUAACUUCAUUUAGCAUAAUCUACUCUAAUGCCAUCCAUUUCCCUGCAAAUGCCAUGAUCUUGUUAAUUUUUAGGGCUGAGUAAUAUUCCAUUGUGUAUAAAUGCCACAUUUUUUUUAAUCCAUUCACCCAUUGAAGGGCAUAUAGAUUGGUUCCAUAGUCUAGCUAUUGUGAAUUAUGCUGCUAUAAACAUUGAUGUGGCUGUGUCCCUGUAGUAUGCUCUUUUUAGGUCUUUUGGGUAUAAUUCAAAACAAAUAUUUCCACUCAUUUCUCACAAAAUGCACCUUAUAACUAUAAAGAAUAAAAUUUAUAAUUUGGUACUUCAGAUGUCAAAGACAAAGCUAGCAUUAAAAAAUGCCCAAUUCUAUGUAUUAGAAACUAAAUGAAAUGCAAAAAUAAAGGGGAGGAGAAAAAUAGGGGAAGUAAAAUAUUUUUACUUAAAAUGUUACAUUUAUUUAAAUAAAUAUUGCUUGAUGAAAGAUCUAGAAUUAUAUUCUUAUAGACACAAAGAAUUGGUUAGUAUUUAUGUAACAGACUUUAGGAAAAAACUUAGGACUGAAAGAACUUCAAGCAACAGAGACUCAAAAAUAAGUAAUUAAAAAAAAGAAUAAAUAUGAAUGAUAAAUGCUAAAUAAAGUAUUUUAAUAUGUAUUAAAUAAAGUAUUAAAUGAUUUAUUUAAUUGAAGUAAAGUAUUAUUAAAUUAUGUGAUAGAGGUUUAUAAAUCAAAAGACUAAAUCUUUCAUGAAAAAGAAAGAAAUUAUGUCAAUAAUUCUUAGGGGGCUGAAACUCAGUGGUAGAGCACUUGCCUAGCAUGUGUGAGGAGGCACUGGGUUCUAUCCUCAGCACCAAAUUAAGAAAAAAAGGUAUUGUGUCCAUCUACAACUAAAUAAUAAUAAUAAUAAUAAUAAUAAUAAUAAUAAUAAUAAUAAUUUAUUUAGUAUACUAAACAAGGUCUUUACAGGUUUGGCCCUAUAUAACUUAAUUCAACUCCUUUUCUCUCAUCUCUCCUUUACACACAGGCACAGUGAAGUUGAUUAUCAACUUCACAAUUCCACAGCUAUGGAGGGCCUAGUAUUCAUUUGUAACAUAAAUAAUAAAAUUAAGUUCUUUAGGAUGCCAUUUACAUCUAUUAUCUCAUUUGACUUACACAAAAAUCUUAUUACAAGAAAAAUAUUAAUUAUCUUAAUUAUUUAUUACUAAUUUAUCUGUCUUAAUUUUCUAUCUGAUUUCAAUUCUUCAAAUAUUAAUCACUAUUUUCUAUUUUAUUUUUAUAAUCAAAAUUUAAUAUGGUCUUUUAUAUUGGUAUAUUUCAUAAAAUCAUGGUUCUAUUAUAUGAUUAACUAUUACAAACCUGUAAAAUAAUAUUUAUGAAUAUAUAUUACAUAAGAAUUCUUAUCAUGUUGAUCUAUUAAAAUAAGAGGAAACCUAUUUUAUGAAAAGCUCUUUCUAUACAUAUGAUUAGAAGAAAUUAUAUCAAAAGUCAACAUAUAUUUCAAUAUUUUUCCUAUGACUAUGAAAUUAUUUAAAAAUUUUAAGUAUUCACUAUUUCUACUUGAAAUGCAGAAAUAAAACACAUCCCCAAAUUAGCAAUUUCACUUAAGAAAAAUCUAUAGAAACCCAACAUGUGGGAUAUUUUAUUAAAUAAUAGGGUGUUAAAAUUUCUGCUUUCACCCAUUAGGUACUAAGAGAAGCAGGAAUUCCCCUCUUUCUAUGGAAAACUAGAAAACCAGACAAAAUACAUGAAUCAAAGGUUUCAAGAAACUGCUCAUCAAGUGGAGCACGGGACUAUGAUCCCUGACCAGGAUUAAAAAAAAAAAAAGUGACCCUUUCUAUGGGCCUAGCCUGGUUUCUAAAGGCAUGUGCUAUCAUAACACACACACAAAAGUAAGAAGCUAGAGUAUUGUGGCUUUCCUGAAUUAAGAGGACAACUACUGGGGCCUGGGUUGAGGCUCCAUGGUAGAGCGCUUGCGUAGCAUGUGAGGCACUGGAUUAAAUUCUCACAACUAAAUAAUAAUAAUUUAAUAAUAAUAAUAACAAUAACAAUAAUAGGUGGCUAGAAUUUAUGGAUGGAAUAUUGGAGAGAAAGGAGCUACACAGAGGGAAACCAUAGAAAUCUGCAGAAAAGACUCCUUGAUUUUAUGGUUAAGUGAUAAUCUGCAUAUGUGUAGCAGGAAAAUUCAAAAGGCAAUAUAAAAUACUACUGAUAAAGAGUAGACUGGAUCAUUUCACAGGCUCAUUGAUGGUGGAACCUUAUUUCAUUUCCCAUUAACCAGAGUGGAGAAAACUUGCAAUAUGUCAGACAUAAGAAGGAUCUUAACAAGUGUCACAUGUUAAGAGUAAGGAUAUUUAGUCUAAGAACAAAGGCAGUAUAUUAGACCUUGCAUAACAAAAAUUAAAACCAAGCCCUAAAUGAAUCAAAUUGACCCGCAAGUAAUUUAACACCCGACAAAAACCCAGUACUCUUUAAAGGAAUAUGACAAAAUAAAUAAACUAACAACAUAAAAUCUGCAAUGUAUGUUAUUUAAUAAAAUUGAUUAGUUAGGCAUGGUGGCACAAACCUGUAGUCUCAGCGACUCAGGAGGCUGAGGCAGGAGAAUCAUAGGUUCAAAACCAGCCUCAGCAAUUUAUCGAGGCUGUAAGCAACCUAUCGAGACUCUGUUUCAAAAUGAAAAAAAUAAAAUAUAAAAGGAGUGAAGAUGUGGCUCAGUGGUUAAUCACCCUUGGGUUUAAUCCUUGAUACAAAAAAGAAAAAAAAAAAUCUGACUAGAAACUAGUAGAAAAAUCAAAUAAUAGAAAGUGAGAGAAAAAUGCAAUUAGUGAAUAACACUUUAAAACAGCCAUUAUAAAUCUCAUUAAUGUACACAAAUGUAUAAAAGAAAGAAUGAGUAGAAAAAUAUAGGAUGUAAUAAAACAGCCAAAUGUAACUUCUAGAGACAAAUGCAAUAGAUGAUAUUAAACAUCACUGUAUGCAAUUAAUAGUAGAUUAGAUACUCCAGAAGAAUGGUGAACUUGAAGAAAUAGAUACUCUUUAAAAUAAAGAAACAAGAGAAAAGAAAGCUGAAAUAAUAUCAGCUGGUGUCAAAUAAGGUAAGGGGAGGCAGAAAGAAAAAUAUUUUAAAAAAUAAUAGGUGAGUCAGAGGUCUCAGUAUGUAUCCUAAAGAUAUCAAAAAGUAUAAUAAGGAAUAUUUAUGAACUAGCUUUACCAGUUUAUUGGACAAUAUAAAUGAAAUGAACAAACUAUUUGAAAGACAGAAAUGACCAAAGCUCACUGAAGAAUAAAUAAAAAAUAUGACUAAUCUUUACCUAUUACAAAUCUAUAUUUCCUAGUUUAAAAUCUUGACCCAAUACGAAAUCUACAUCCAGAUAUUUUCAUUGGUGAAAGAUAUUCCAUGCUUAAUUCUUGGUCCUGGUACAGAAGAUAAUAUUGCUAUGAAUUUUAUAUAUAUAUAUAUAUAUAUAUAUAUAUAUAUAUAUAUAUAUAGCAAUUCUUUUCAAAAUCCUAAUAGUGAUUGAUUUCAAUAUUAACAAGCUAUUUUUAAAUUAUACAUAUUUAAUAUAUUAUACAACAUAUUAUACAUAUUAUAUAUAAACAGAUUACCUGAUUUCAAGUCUUAUCAUUCCAUAUGCAAACAUUAAUUUCCUAUCAAUCAUACUCAUUAUAUUUCAAACCUAAAACUAAGAGAUCUGGGGUGUAGACCUGUGGGAGGCUGUGGAAAGAAAGCUUUGUGCUUAGUCCUUAGGCACUGCAAGAUAAAAAAACAAAGCAAAAAAAAAGACCUGAAACUCAUAAGCUAUCAAGUUAAAAAAGAUAAAUUGUAUUUUAUCACAUAAUUGUUUUAAUCAAGCUCUACUGUUAAAACAAUUUAAAAGACAGAAAAUGUUUGAAAAAUAUAUAUCUGAUAAAAAUGUGUAGUCAAGAUACAUAAAGCACUCUUGAAACUCAACAAGACAAAGAUAAUCUAUCUGCUUUUUAAACAUGAAUUUAUUUUAUUAAACGCUUCACAAGAAAAGAUACAUGAAUGGCUAUUCAGUACAAGCAAAAAUGAUCACCACCUAUAUUCAUAGAGAAAAUAAAAUAUAAAGCUACAAUAAGAUAGUAAUAUACAUAUGAGAAUUGCUAAUAUAAAAAAGCCUGACUAUACCAAAUAUUCUUAGAAUAAGAAGGAUCUGAAAAUUUUAUACAUCUCUAGUGAGAAUGUAGAACUAUGUGGCAACUUUUUAGUAAGUUAAAUAUGGUUAUAAUAUGAAAUUCAUUUAAGAGAAAUGAAGUUAUUUUAAUACAAAGAUUUGUUCAUAUUAUUUAUUCAUAAUAGCCUCAAAUUGAAAACAACCCCAAUGCCCAUAAAAGAUAAAUAGAUAAAGUGAUUUAUCCCUAUAUAGAUAUACUAAUCAGCAAUAAAAAGAAAAGUACUAUUGAUACAUAUAAUCAUGGAUAAUACUCAAAUGCAGUAUGAUGAAUAAAAAUUCCAGGCAGGGGACUAUAUACUAUUCAUUAGAAAAUCAGAAAGAGGAAAACUUAUUAACAGAGAUAAGAUCAUUGAUGGUCAGUUGGUGAAGGUGGAGAUAGAGAUCAAGUGCAAAGCUGUAUAAACAAUACCUUGGGAACAUGAAAAUAGUUAUUUUGAUUGAUUGUGGUAAUGGUAAAAAGGAUUGUAUUUGCAGAAAUGCAACCACUGUUAAUUAAAAUGGAUGCAAUUAUUAUGUGUAAGUAUAACUCAAUAAAACUGUUUCAAAAAUGAAUUAUAUACACAUAGAUUGUGUAUAUAAUUAAAUACACAUCUUAAAUAUACAUAGAUUGUGCCAAUUCUAUGUGUAUUUCAAAGUAUCAUUACAAUGAAAAUAACUUCUUAUAAAAACUUUGAAAACUUUCUUAUAGUCCCCAUGCAGGAAAAUUUUAUUUUUAAAAAUGAGGUUAGAAUAUAAUUCAAAAAAUUCCUUAAAUUUUGUUUCUUGUUGUGUAUGUGUCCAACAUUUCCCAUGUAAUUAGAAAAGUUGUAAAAAAUAUUUUAUUUACUUUAUAAUGGGACUCAAGUCCAUAUUCUACCACUUCUGUGGGUUGGGAAACAAUUAUAAAUCUGGAUUUCACAUUCCUUUUCUGCAAAGCAAUAUUAUUGUUUCAGUACUGGCAAAAGAAUUUCUAGUUUGGUCAUUGACUCUAGCUUCUCUGGGAAUUUACAAUGACAGAGUGAUUUUGAAUGUAAACAAAUUGGAUUAGAGUUAACAAUUGUGCAUUUGUAAUUAGCACAGUGAAAAAUCCAUAUACAGGUAAUUGGGUCAUGACUACAUUUAAAAUGUCAAUGGCUAAUGGUAUUUGACAGAAAGAUACUGUCUCCUCCAGUAUAUGUUCCCUUGACCUCUUUUCUGGCCAAUUUCCAUUCUACUGAUAGAAAUGAGGGCUAGAGAAAAUUCAAAACCAUUAUUAUAGAAGAUUUUUUUUCUGAGAAUGCACAUCUUUGAAAGAUAUGGUAGUAUAAAAAAAGAUAAUAAUGGGCUGGGGAUGUGGCUCAAGUGGUAGCGCACUCGCCUGGCAUGCCUGCGGCCCGGGUUUGAUCCUCAGCACCACAUACAAACAAAGAUGUUGUGUCUGCCGAAAACUAAAAAAUAAAUAUUAAAAAAAAAAUCUCUCUCUCUCAAAAAAAAAAAGAUAAUAGCAAUUACUUUGGUAGUAAAAAUUGACUAGGAGCUCUUUCUAGAAUCCAAGAGGAUAUUACAAAAUUAUUUUGUCAAAUCAUUUUCUAGAAAUAGUUUUUUCAAAACUGAGAUUAUGAUUUCUUAGCAUUCAGAUGUUAGUUGUUUUCUUAGGGUGGUAUAAAAAGUGUCAUGGAAAACUUGAAAUUUUCCCUGAUCCUGCCUGUAUAAUUCUUUCUGCUUCUAAUCUUAUCUCAAACACCAGCUUCUCCAUGAAGUUGUUCCUUAGACUAUAAGCAGGUAAAGUCUAUUUUCCUCCCUAAAAUCCUUAGAAGUCACUAUCUCUGUAUGUCGUGCAAUGCUGACUAUUUUACCUAAAGUCGAGUUGUUUGUGUAAUUUUUUAUUUCAUUGCAAGCUCCUUGAUGACAAAUAAUGAUUCACCCAACCCUCUAUUAGCCAAAUGACCAAAGAAGGAUGAUGUAAAAUUAUAAGACAGUACAGUUAUUAUCAAUACAGGAACUGAGUUCUACCUACUUGGAAUUUUGCCCUGGGUAAAACAUUUCACCUUUCUGUUCUUCAGAUAUUUUUAAUUCAUAAAAUUGAAACUCUAUCAAAAUAUUGGUAAACCUUAUGAAACAUUAUUUUUCAUAUCAGGUUUCGCUAAUUGAAUGUAAGUUCCCUGAAGGCAGGAACUCAUUUUUUUCACCUCUGUAUACACUGUGCCCAGAACUGUGGCUGGCAUAUAGCAGAUUUGUAAUUAUUUAUUGAAUUAUUUAAUAAACAAGGGUAUUAAAACACUGUGAGUGGGCUGGGGCUGUAGUUCAGUGGUAGAGCGCUUGCCUAGCACAUGCGAGGCCCUGGGUUUGAUCCUCAGCACCACAUAAAAAUAAAUAAAAUAAAGGUAUUGUGUCCAUCUACAACUAAAAAAUAAAUAUUAAAAACAAAACAAAUUAAAAAAAAAACCUGUGAGUAAUGGCCAACAUUGUACACAAUAAGUAUUCUAUAAGUAGAAAAGGCAAAUAAUGUCAAAUGUUUAUUUUUUUUUUAAUUCAAUUGAAUGGAAAUGGCCUCUGCAAUGGAACCCACAAGUUCAAUUUGGGACAAUUUUAGUACCUUAAGGUGAAAACAAUUAUACUGUAGGGAUUAGAAGAUCAUAUGUAUAUAUAUACACAUAUGUAUGUAUGUAUAAAUAAUUUAUGUGUAUAAAUAAUUUAUGUGUAUAAAAUUUCUUUCAAGGUGCUUCUUUUAUAAGCAUUUCAAAAGUAAAGCAUAUGAAGUAUUUAUAAUUUUUGUUGUUUUUAGUAAAUGUUCCAUGAAGUUCUUUUUCUUCCUUUUUUUUUUCCUGUCAGGAUAAUGUGUCUAGUUAUCACCAAAUCUGAUCAGAGCUUAAAUCUACUUUAUGUAUGCUCCCCAUCCCCACUAUAGUGGAAGGAUAGGAAUACAGGAGGGGAUUCUUCAGAGGAUGCAGAAGUUGCCACAAAUAGCAAGCCUGAACAGUAUUGAUUUCUUUGAAGUGUCCCUCCUGAUGUCUCUUAAUAAUCAAGCACUGUCGAUUGACUACUGCAAAUUGAAUUUUCCUUGUUGACACUUCAGGUUUUUAAUUUUGUAAAUGCAGAAACCAGAACAAAAUAAAUGAGACUUUGCUGCAUUUAAAAUCAAUACCAGUUAUAUCAGUCAUUAAAAGAACACAACACACACACACACACACACACACACAGUGUGUCUUAUCUCUGUAGUUAGAAUUUCUGGUCCCCUGUCUCUACAUCUACAUGGACUGCAUCAUCCCCUCUCUCUCUCUGAGGUAUGGCCCUACUCUUCCCUACUUCUAGAAACCCUCAUUUUUCCUUCCAUAGCAGACAGUUAAUGAAUGUUCAUCACCUAGUGCCCUGAUUUUAGCUCUCCAGCAUCCACAAGCAGACAUGAGUAUCCAAAAACGAAAAAUUAUAAAACAAUUUGAAUUGUAUAUUUAACAUAAUUAUAUGAAAAAUAUAAACACCUAAUUAAUGUGUUAGUCACUGUUAUUAGUUUAAUAAUGUUCACAAGGUAGCUGACAGUGACAAUGUGGGCUACAGAAUUUAUAGUUCAAAUUUAGAAGGAGAGUGGAAAUCCUUUCCUUUACUGAUAUGUAUUAUAAGUCCUUCCUUCCCUUCUGUCUGAUGGGUUAAUUAAUGUUACAUGCCUGUUUCUGGGCAAUUAUUGGCAGGCAGAAUACCAUCUGCUACUUAGUUUACACUAAUUAGGAUAUUCUUAUGAAACUGGGCAUGGAGUAAAUACCUGAACAAAUUUGCAGUGAAUAAAAAACAGGUUAAACCAAAAGAAUUAGGAAUCUGAGUGAUAUUAUAUUUCUCAGCAGCAAAAUUGGAAGAUAAAACAGGCAGGAAUAAUAGUUUCAAAACAGUUAAGGUAAACAAUUUCUCACAUAAAAUUCUAUCUUCAUUCUAUGCUGAUUGAUAAAACAUGACAUAACAAUAAAUAAAAUUUCAACAUUUGCAAUUUCAAAAAUUUACUUCCUAGGUAAAAUUAUCAUGGAUUAAUUUGACAAUGUGUUCCACCAAAAUAAAUAUUAUACCAUGAACAAAAGAGAAACAGAAUUUAAGAAAUAGGGAAUCCACAUUAGACAGGCACCAAAGAAAGUUCUGGGAUAACAACAGUGCAGUAGGCCUACAGAAUAAGUAGUUCAAAUUAGAACAAAAUGCUCUAGGGCUUCAGCAAAGAGGACUCUAGGAAAAUAAAAAGGAUACAACUUUUGUAGAUUAAAUUUAUCUUGUGAAAGAGAAAUCUAGAGAUUUUUAAAUUUCAUGAAGGACUAAUAAAAAGCAAACAGAUGACUAAGAAAUAAAUGAAGACAGGAAUUAUUGCCUUUAGGAAAAAUAGAAUGUUGUAUAAGAGGAAAUAUGGUUGUAUUGUAAUACCUGAUCCUUCAGUGAAUAAAUUUAAUGGAAUGAUGAUAAAUAAUACACAGAUACUAUUGGGGCCUCUGAAUGGGUACAAUAAAUAGCCUUUUCUUUGUUUUCUACCUGGAUGCUGAACAAAUUUAGAAAUAAAGAAUAGCAUAUUAGAAACCAGAAUGUCAUUAUUUAUUACUUACAAAAAUAGAAGACAUAGUUUAAUGCAAAAGCAAAAUGGAUCUCUGACUGAAUUCCAGGAAGCUUUCCCCACCAGCCACAGCCAAAUAGGAUAAGGAAGGCCUCCUCCAUAGCAGAGCACAGUUGAAGGGGCAUGGUGCACUGAUGCUCUCUAUGGGCAGCUCAUUUGGAAGAGAAGGAAAGGAAAGCUGAAUAAAACAAUACUCCUUUCUUCAAUUUCUUGAAUUUCUAUUAAUACAUGUUCUGAUUUCUUCAUAACUGUUUUCUUACCUUUGCAUCCUUCAUGACCAAUAUGUUUUAUUUUAAGCUCUUUAUUAUGCAAAUUAGUAAAUACAUAAAAUUAGUCAAAAUAGAUUAGUUAAAUCCAUGAAAUAUUAUUGCAGCUUCAUGGCCAAUCUUGUUUCAUGUAUACUCCCUCUUUGACUUACUUUGAGAAAAUAUAUUUUAAAUGUAUCGACCAAUUUUCACUGUAAUUUUAUGUUAUUUAUUGUAUCUGAAAAGAGGAGGCAAUUCCUUAAAUAUGAUUAUAUCCUUGGAGGUAGUAUUUCACCUCAAAGAAUAGUAUAAAAAAUUGUUAUUUUAUACUAUGACAAACUAUACUGUUUUAUUAACAUUAAGUUCUUCUAUUAAAAGAAACAUGCCAAUAACAGUGAUUAAGACAUUAAUUAUUUGUUUAUAUUUUUAUAUUAUCAUGUGUAAAUAUAAUUUUUUUUUUUUUGUGUGUGUGUGUGUGUCAGGAUCAAACCCAGGAGCACUUAACACUGAGCAACAUCCCCAACAUUUAUAUAUUUAUUUAGAGACAGGAUGUCACUAAGUUGCUUAGAGCCUUGCUAAAUUGCUGAGGCCAACUUUGAACUUGUGAUCCUCCUGCCUCAACCACCUGAGCCACUGAGAUUACAGGUGUGUGUCACUGCAUGCAGCAUAAUUUAAGGUUUUUGUUUUGUUUUAUAGUGUUUCAUUUCUGAAUAUUCAUGUCUGCUUCUGAAUGCUUGAGAGCUGGAACCGAGGCACUAGGUGGUGAACAUUGCUGAACUGUCUGCUAUGGAAGAAGAAAUGAGGGUUUGUAGAAGUAGGGAGGAGUAGGGCCAAUACCUCAGAGAGCAGAGAGGAUGCAGUACAUGCAUAUGUAGAGACAAGGGGACCUGUCCUUAUCCUUUGCUUGCACAGCAGAAAUUCUAAUUACAGAGAUAAGACACCCAGUGUAUAUGUAAUGUUAAUUGUGUUCAUUUGAUGGCUGAUAUAACUGGUGUUGAUUUUAAAUGCAGACUUUAACCAGAUGCAGAUUUUAACCAGACUUAAGGAGAUACACAGGGAGAAGGACGGGGCAGUUAGAAGUGGGGUCUUUAAUAACCUCAACCGAGUUACUGAUCACACUAUUUCUAGAACCUAACCCUACUUCUAAAGUCUCUUUUAUUAAGACAAUUAAUGUAAUUAUGAUUUCAAUGGUCUGAGUGAGGAUUUUCUUUCUGUUUCAGCCUGAAACAUCCUGACUCUCUACAGUAUGUUUUUAAGAUUUUUCUCUUUAUCUUUAGUAUCCUAAACUUUUUAAAUGUCUCAUAGAUUCAGAUAGAAUUAGUCAUUUUUAUUUUUGCUAGGCAUUUGCCAGCCCCUUUCACUCUAGAAAUUCAUAUACUUCUAUUUUUAUGAAAUAAUUUAUUGUGUCUUUGAUAAUUGCUUCCUUUAUUUCCCUGUAUUUUCUCAUUCUGGACUGCCAUCAUAAACAGGUGAACAAGUCAGGUGAGUACUAUACAAUAAGAAUUUUUAAGUGACCUCCUAGCAGUUCCAUGAUGAAUUUUUAUCUUCAUAAAAUUGUAUGCAAAAUACUGUAUUAAUGUAAGUCUUCAUUUUUCUGAGAGGGAAUCUAAAGCUACUUUUUAUUCUUUUAUCAUUCCCUGAAGAUUUAAUCCUUGAAUGUGACAGAACUGUAAGCUUCCAAGAGACCAUAACUUUGAACUGCUGACUGGUUAAAAAUGAGGAGGAGGGAGCAAAAGAUAAGGUAAGUUCCUAUGAGUAGCUCCUGACAUUCUGUAUGACAUGAAUGGCUAUUAGAUUUGCUCCAUUUAAAAAAGAAAAAGAGAGUUAAAAGGUUAACCACCUAUUUGACUGAUUUGAAAUGCUGAAGCAAAAUAUCUCAUCUUUUUGUACAGUGAAUGGGCAGCUUUGCAGCUGUCAGUGGGAUAUUAUUCCAAAAUGAAUAUGAUUUGAGAUCUUACUUUAAAGAAAGAAGUGUAAGAAUUCUUAAUGGAAUUAAAUUAUCUUUGUGUGCCAAAGUCUCAUCUAAGGUUUUAUUAUGCUGUGAGAUGUGUCAUACGAUAAACAAUAUUCUAUGUAUGGCUAUGGAUUUACUUGAGAUUUAAUGAAAAAGAGAAAAUGAAACUGUUUUAAUGGAGAAUCUUUGCAAUUACUUUCCAAAAUAGCUUCUUAAAUUGCUCUGUUUUCAGAAUAUUUUUGGCAAAGCAAUAUAUUAUGGUAACUUCAAUAGUAGUUCUAAAAAUCCUUAAAAUCUUUUACUUUUUCUACCAUUUAAAAUUACUAUUAAGUUAAUGCUGGCAUCAUUCCAAACAAACCAUUUUUAAAUAGAUUUGCUUUAUAUAUUCCUUCUUAUAUGCUUAUUUCAUUAAAAUGCCAUGUUAAUGGGCUUGCAGCUGGUUUUAUAUUGGAACUGCUGUAACAAGAGCUCUGUAGUCAUUCCCAGAGCCAUUGUAUUACAGUAUUUAUAGAAGAAAGUAACUUCAUGAAUUAUUUUUUCCUGCAUAUUCAGUCUCUCUCUCCUUGUCCUGGCAUCCUAUUCUUCUCAGCUUAUAAACAUAUUCAGGUUCUACCAUUUAAAGACAACCCUUCUAAACUCCAUUUCUUCCUCCACUUACUGCUACAUCCCUUUCAUUGACUCACAGUCCAAUUGUUCCAAAAGUAUUCUUCUGUAUGUCCAUCAUAAAUAAGGGAGCAUAAGAUGGGUUAUAAGAUCCAAGAUUUCAACCUGGACUGAAGACUGAAGAGCUCAGAGCGGGAGUAGGUAAGAGAGUCAGAUUAGCCACUGAUGAGUUCUGGGCCUCAGCUUAUAAAUGUCUGGGUACAAAAAUAUGAAAAUGUGUUCAACAUUAUUAGACAUUAGCAAAAUAGAAAUGGUAACUGCAGUGAAAUACUCCUACACAUCUAGUAGAAUGUCUAUGAUUAUAAACAAAUCCAGCAAUAUGGAAUACUGGAGAAAAUGUAGAGCAAUCAAAACUUUUAUGCUUUGCUGUGGUAAUGUAAAAUGGUUCAGCAGCUUUGGAAAUAUAGGAAAUUUUAUAUAAAUCUUAAGCAUGGUUACUAUAGGGUAAGCAAUUCCCAUCAUACACAAGAAAUAUGAAACCUAAUGUAUAUAUAAGACUUGAACAUAAGUUUUCAUACCAAUUGUAUUCACAAAACUUAAUAAUUUGAAUGAUUAAAAUAGCCAUUAACAUGGGAAUGCAUGGUUUUUAAAAUACAGUUCUAUCUAGCAAAAAGAAGGAGUAAAUCACUGAGGCAUACAAAUCAUGGAAAAAUAUCAGAAAUGAUUUAUUAAGACAAGAAAACCACAGAAAAGUGAAGGUGUAUUAUUUCUAUGUAUGAAUUUUUAGAAUGUUCAAAAGUAAGUUACAUUAGACUUUACAUCAGAUUUUAGAGGGAGGAUAAAAAUAGAAUAGACUGAAGAGGCAUGACAAAAUUUUGGUGGUGAUGGGAAUAUUCUGUAUUUUGACUGGAAUAGGGGUUUGGAAUGUUUACAUAUUUGUCAGAGUUCAUAAAACUAUGCUAAAAAUCCAUGGACAUUAUUGUAUGUAAGUUAUAUAUACCAAGUAAUAUAAAAACUUAAUAAAACAAAGCAAACAUAAAACUAAAUACAACCACGUAGAGAAAGGAUUUUAAUUCCAUACAGGAGACUGCGAUAUCAAUAUGAGAUAGAAAUCAAAUAAGGGAAAUCUUUGGAGAAGGAGGUGUUUGUAAUUGUGUUUGCAAAAUGAAUUAGGAGAAGAGCCCCUUAACAUUGGAAGUGUGCAGUGGAAUUUUGUCUGAUUAGGAUUGGUCCAAAGGCAAUGAAAGAAGAGAAAUACUGACAAAUAUAAUGGAGAGAAAUGGAGACAAGCAUCGCCAACAAUUUCAAAGAGUUUUUAUCUAAAAGAAGCAAACAGAGAAAAAUUGGGAGGGACAAAAUCUGGUCUCCGCAUUUUUUUAAGAUAAAAGAUUGAUAUCAUAUUUGAUAUUGCAACUGCUAUUUAUGUUGCAGUGUUUAGUCAGUAUUGACAACAUGAAUAAUACUUAAUGAAUAUUUAAAUAAUAAAGGAAAGAAACUAAUAUGUGUUACCUGCCUGCAAGAAUUGACAGGAGAACAGAAUAAAAUUUUGUUUCUGCCUGGGAAAGUGCAAUAAGAGCAAGAAGAAAGAGGGUAAUUGUGGAAGUAGGAAAAAAUAAUGGAUAACCGAAAGCAAAAGUAAAUGACCUGAAUUUUACUAGUAUUUACUUUUGAACUGCGGUAUUGAACUUCAAUACUCUAGACUUUAUUGUGCAUUUUAAUUGUCCAUUUAUAAAACAAGGUUAGCACAUAAACCAAGUCCUUACUCAAGGCAGGCUAUGCUAAUCAAUUAUGGCACCACUUAUGUUUCAAAUUGGAUAGGGCCUUAACUCAUCUCUUCAAGAAGCAAUUACCAAACUAUUAAGAAGAGCAUGAAAAAAUAAAUUAUUUGUCACAUCUCUUCUAAAAGUUCCUAGUCCUAGGGCUAAACUAGCCUCCCAUCCUAUAUAUUUCUUUGGAGUAUAGUUACAUAUCAUAAAAGACUUUAGGUUCUUAAAAAGUGAAAGGUGAAUAUAUUCAAUAUAAAUGAUUAAUUUUGUAUUUUUGUUACUAGAAAAAGGAUAGAUGAGGAAAAUCCCUUUAUUUCUAGAAGGAAGGCAAGGCCAAUAAAGGCUGCAGAAUUAUAUAACAAUCCUUUAGAAUUCUCCUCCAAAUGAUGUGGAAUCUAUUUCCUACCAAAAGCUCAUAAUAAAUAUAUAAUAAAAUUUGACUCAGUGUCAGAGUACACGAUAUGUUUAAAGUGCUACCAGCUCUGUUUUGAAGAGAUAAUUAUCACCAGUAACUGUGACUACCUGAGAGCAGACUAUGUACCAGUAAGAUGUAACACCUUAUUGAAAAUAUUCUCUACUAUGCCACUAAUCCAAAAAUGGCAAAGGGGAGCAAUAGUUCAGAAUAAAUACAAAGAGUCCAUGUUAAAAAUUAAAAUAGGAAAAGAAGCAAAGUAAGGGAGGAAAUAGAAGAAAUGCAGAAGAAGGAAUAGUGAGAAAAGAAAAAAAUAGUAUAUGUCCCAUUUUAAAAACAAUAUAAGAUUGGAUAUAAGAUUGGAUUAAAGUUUGUGAUAACAAAUAAUGGGACAAUCAAUACAGAAGAUAAUAAAAUAUAAGUGAAAUAAAAACCUAAUAUUAAAAAGAUUACAAUAUUUUUGGCUCUAGUGCCUCCACAAAGACUUUGCUCCAUCCACCUCUGGCAUGAUCAUGGGCUGCUCUAAUAGUUCCCUGGUACCCUGGGUCACAAUGUGCCCUCUUGUGGCUGAGGGGAAAGGUUCUGGGGCAUCUCUGACCCAUGGCUAAAUCAAUUCUGGGCACCCUACCUACUGUUCUCUUCACACUGCUGGCAGCAACAGAACUGUUUCCAUCUUAAAAUUAAGAAAUCUUGGGCAUAAUUCAACAAACAUAAGAGGAUUUUUAACUGUAGAAAGAAGGCAGAACACAUAGGGACACAGGAAUUAGGUAACUAGAUGGAAGUUAGUUCCCUGGGUUUUCUUGUUGGCAUUUAAAUAUGUUAGAAAGGAUGCUGCAGAAGUUUUCAAUGUAGAACCACCAAUAGGCACAGACAAAAAUAUCUCCAAGUAAAGCCUGUUUGUCUUAACCAAAAUACCAGAGAAAGAAGGACCCAAGACAGCAGAAAUACUUUGGACACAUCCAUCCUAUUCCCAACAAACAUCAAUGGAAUAGUUUCCUCCAAAAUAUCCACAAAUAUGCAUAGUUUGUAGGACCAAAAAGAAAACCCAUCCUGCACUUACCCUUGGAUCUAUCGGAAACAGUAGUUUUUUGUCUUGCUUUAGGCAUCACCAAAAUUCUUGAGGAGAUGAUCUUUGGUCUCCUGGUUGGCAAAAGUAGUUGAUGGAGGUAGGUGACGCUACACUUCCCCCAGUGAGUGGAGUGCUGAUCUUGACUUGCCAAGGGGAAAUACCAGCAUCAUCAAUAGCAUUUAAAGGCACCCUGUUCUUUUAAACCCAUAUGGCAGCAAGGAAAUGUAAUGAGAGUAGAAUUAUUCACCACUGUACCUUACCCUCACUAUUUGGUGUCAGUGGGUCUUAACAGAUAGCUGAGCUUCUACUACCAUUGGAUAUUUAUGAGAUUUAUGAAGAAGUUCAAAUCAGGACUUGUUAGUGUUUCACUUUCUAAGUACCCCUGAAAUGAGUAUGAUCCAUUAGACAGGCAAACUGCUACACCUGUCCAGAAUUAACCAAGCAGAAUGAGGUGUUAAGAGAUAGGGUUGGUUUGUUCUACAAGUAUCCCUUCCCCUGGUAUCAGCUGAUCCCAAACAGGAUCUGAGUUUACACUCUUACUGAUUAGCCUCAAAACAGUAUGAGUAAUCUCUCUCCCCUUACUUCUCCCUGAGAAGAAUAAGAUGUAGUGGGGAUCUAUACUCUUACUUGGAGACAAGGUGAUGGUGUUAAUUGGUGCUUCAUUUUUAUUUUUGCUGAGAAGAUAAGUAUCAGCAGAGCUGAGUAGAGAGCUGAGCCUCCACCCCACCUGUGUGCAAUAAGUCAGACACUAAUUUGAUCAGGGUGGUAUGGGUAGGGCCCCUGCAAUAAUAAGAUGAAUCAUAAGAAAACUGAUACAAAUUUUAAAUCACCAAUCACAAAAAUACAAUAAACAGCAAUUGUUAAUUUUCUUUUUAAAAAAUCAACAACAAAUAGAUGACUAAAAUGUAAAUUAUAGAACUAGAAGACUGUAGAAUAAAAGAAAACUGGAUUAAUGAGCUUAUAUAUAGUGAAGAAGACAAGAAAAGAACCAAUCAACUUGAGGAAAGAUCAAUAGGGUUUCCCCAAUCUGAACAGAAAAAUAAAUAAAUUAGCAACCUAUGUAAUAAUAACAAGUUAACUUCCAUAUCCUCACUUGCUCAGAAGAAAAUUAAAGAAAAAGUCAGACUGAAAAAGUAUUUUAGGAAAUAAUAACAUAAGUCUAAUUACAUAUAAAGAAAGACCCAAACCUGUAGAUUCAGGAACUAGAGAGAAGUCUAAAUUAAAAAGCAAAAGAACAUCUAACACAGAUCAUAAUUUAUCUUUGCAAAUGUAUAGACAACAAUUCCUGAAGUAUGUUGGCAUAUGAUUCUAGGAACCUUGUGUAAUAAAGAUAUAAUAAUCAAGAGAGGGAUUAGAUUUCAGAGGAUGAUUCUCUGCUUACAUAAAGAGCCUGAGUGGCGAGAGAUGGCAGGACUGUUUGUGGUUAUUUCAGUUUGAAGUGAUUGGCUAGGAAUUCCUUAAUCAUCAAGUAUGAUAGCUCUCCUCUGACUGAUUUUUCCAAGGAAUGUUGAAACCAGAGAAAAAAUCCCUAAGCAGUUCAGUAUAUAAUGUCUGUAGAAUUUCCUCUAGUUUUGAUUUUUGAAAAUACCAAGUAAAUAUGACAAAGGAAUUCAAAGGUUUAAAUUACCCACAUACACCAAUACAGGCUAAUCAUAUUGUUAAUAUUCAUAAAUUGUUUAGUAUGGUACCAAGACUGAUGUGUGUUACAGAACCCUUUGGAAUAGGUAUGGAAGAAAACUUUAAGGAUAAAUUAUUUACCAGAACCAGUGUUAUACAAGGUUAUGGAGGAGAUGAUUUUACAUAGUUUGGAGGUGGUUCUCAUGUGGUUGAGUAUCAUUGAAAUAACUGAAUGCAUAUAUUAUAGGGGCAAAGAUGGAUGCAGUAAUAGAAUGGAGAAUUGUUAAGUAAAAGCAGACCACAGCCACAAAAUCUACAUGUAAUCCCUUAAUGGUACAUCCCAAAAGCCAAAUAUUAGAAUCCCAAAUCCAGCAUUUUUUACAUAGGAGCGACAUUGAGCACCCAUGUUUAUAUUUUUUGAAGAAGAAAUAAAGCCAAAAGGGAUUAUAACAACAUACCAGAGGAAGAAAAUGUUAUAUGAAGAAACAUAUAGCAAUCCUUUGUUUAAUACCAAUAUUUAAAGUAUUAUUUAACAAUAGAAAAUUCAUCGGGAUCUAGGAGAAAAUACCAGUUAAUGGUAUGUGGGUAGAAAGAAAAUACAAAAAAAAAUUGUAAGAGGUCUUCAAAAUUCAGAUAAUCUGCUCUUUAAAACAGAGAUCCUAAAAUCCAAUUAAGGAAAUUCUGGAUUAAAUAAGAAAUGAUUCAUUUUCUUAUGCCUUUCCAAUAAGAUUAAGGGAUGGAAGAAAGAAAAAGCAAUUAUAAAAUGGUUCUGUAUUUAUGUACACCUGUCUUCAAAUUUAUCCACUGUGCAAGUGUCUCCAAUGAGAAAGAAAGAGAAAUGGGCUAGAAAUAUGAGUGGAAAUUUUUACAAAGGGGAUUUGUAGAUGGAAAACAAGCAUAUAAAAACAUGUUCAACUAUAUCAACCAUAGGAGAAAUUCAAAUCAAAAUGCUAAUUGUAUAUCAUUAUACAUGCACCAGAAUAACUUAAAUAUAAAGUGAUAGCACUAAAUUCUAGUGAGAAUGCAGAGAAAUUAUAUCCCUUGUAGAUUGCUGGUGGGAAUUUAAAAUGGUACAACCAACUGGAAAGUCAUAUGAAAAUUUCUCACACAACUAAACAAUACAUUUAUAAGAUGACCUAAAACUUGUAUUCUUGGGUAUUAUUCCAGAAAGUUGGAAGAUCACAUUCACACUCAAAAUUUAUACAGGAAUGCCAUAUCAUCUUUAUUUUAAUCUUCUAAAAUUAGAAACAACAAAGAUAUCUAUGAUAAUUAAUUUAUGUGUCAACUUGUUUGGGUUAAUGAAUACUUAGAAACCUGGGAAUACUUCUGUGUGUGUCUAUGAACACAUUUCUAGAGGAGAUUGACAUGUUAGUUAACUGAGUGAAGAAAAUCAGCCAUUAAUGUAGGUGGGCACCAUUCUACUGGCUAGGUCCUUGAAUAGAAUGAGAGGGACAUUAUUAUUCCUAUGUGUGGUUAUGUUUGUGCAAUUAAUAUCCAUCAUGUAAAACCAGAGAAAUGAAAAGUUGUGCUCCAUUUGUGUAAAAAAUAAAAUAAAUUUUUAAAAAUGGAGAGAAAAGGAUUCCCAUAUCUUUUCGGGAAUAGCAACACUACUUCUCCUGACCUUCAACAUCAGUACUCCAGACUUUCUGGCUUUGGGACUCUAGGACUCAUACUAGCACCCUCAGGGUUGAUAGGCCUUAAGUUUCAGACUGAGAAUUAAUUAUACCUUUGACUUCUCUGGUUCUGAAAUUUUCAAACUUAGACUGAGCAAUGAUACUUGCAUCCCAGGGUCCACAGCUUUCAAAUAGCCUAUUUUAGGACAUCUUAGUGCUUAAAGCUGCCUAAGUCAAUUCCUUUAAUAGAUCUCUUAUUAUUUCUUCUUGCCUGACUGAUUAUCUAUCUAUCUUCUAUCUAUCAACCUAACUUUAUACUUUUGUUUUGUUUUUCUAGAGAAUUGUGGCUACAUAGUGUUCUUUAAUAAAUUAAUGAUUUAUCAAACCAAAUGGAUUAAUCAAUGAAUUAUUGAAGCAAACAAAAAAACUAUUAUUACACACAAAUUGAUUAGAUCACAGGAGAUUUAUUCUGAGUGAAAAAAGAAAGAUACAAAAUGGUUCCAAACUGAGUUAUUCCAUUUAUGUAACAUUUUUUUCUAAUGAAAAAAAUCAUAAAAAUCAUAAAGAAUAAAUUACUUGAUUUCAGGGAUGGAGAAGUGACUAGAGGUGACUAUGGUUAUAUAUAUGUAGCAAAAGGGUUCCUUGGAUGGAACUUUUCUGCAUAUUGACUAUAGUAGUAGUUACAGAAAAUGCUACACAUGAGAAAAUUCCACAGGACCAAACACAAGUACAUAUAAAAAUUUGUUAAUGUAAACCUGGUGAAAUAUUAGUAAGUUAAAUGAAUUGUGUCAAUAUCAAUUUCCUAAUGAAAAAGUAAUAUAUUUGUGGAAGACAUAACCAUUGGGGCAACUUGAGUGAAAGGAAUAAGGUAACUAAUUGGUGGAGAUUCAUUUUAAUGCUACUUAAAAUCAUAAUAUAUGCAAAUCUUGUAGAUGUACUCAAUAAUAUUGAUGACUCUCAAUUUUCACUGAGUGAAAGAACCAUACAAAAGUACAAAUUGUGAUUCCAUUUAUAUAAAACUCUAGAAAAUAUAAACUAAUCUACAGAUCCAGAAAGCUGAUCAGUGCUUGUAUGGCAAUGGACAGGGCUUGGGGAAGUGGUUUGAGGAAACUGUUUAGGUAAUGAUAAUGAUAAUAUUAUUUUUUUUAAUAAUGGUGAUGGUUUUACAGGUGAAAUGUUAAAUCUAAUUUAUUAUUUUAUGUGUAAUUUAUUACAUGUAAUUUAUUACAUGUCAAUUAUAUCUGAAUAAAGAUGUUCAAAAUAAAAACAGUCAUAUCCUAGGAGCAAAAUAUGAUGAAAAAUAUUGUUAACCAUUGGCAUAAAUGACAUAUUAAACUCUAAGUGGCCAAUGUUUUUAAAUGCUCACUCUUCAAUAGAAGAAUAAUAAUCAUGAAUUUAAGCAAGAAGUAAUAAUGGAUAGAAAAGCAAAAGGCACAAUCUAGUCAACUAAUAAAUCAUCCAUAUGGUGUUACAUUUAAUAUUUUUAAAAUAAACAUUGAACAAUUAAACAAGAAUAAAUUUACUUUUAAAGAUAUAAUUCAACUUCAUCAAAGUACAUGCAUAAAUCACGUAAAAAUUUAAACUCUCGUUUGCACUUUGAUUUACUGAUUUAAGCAUGAGCACAAAUAAACUCUUCAUGAAAUGACAGCACAUAAGAAAUUAAUUUCUUUUAUAUUAUUGCUUUUAUUUUACAAUCACCGUGCUAUCAAUGUUUAUUUAGAAACAGGUGUUUAAGUGCUAGAAUACAUGUGUCAUACAAGACCACAGAAUAGUGGCCUGAAAUGCACUGCAAGCCAUACUAGAUCUGAGGAACUUACUUUAGAAAGGAAAGCAGUAACUUAAUUACAUGAUAUCUAAGGUUAAUAGUAUAACAAGAAUUUCUCCACAUUAAUUCCCUCACAUAAUAUAUCUGAUAAUUAAGGGACAAGUGCUAAAAAUGUCCUUUUUGUACCUUAUAUAUACACAUUUAAAACUUAUUGGCAGGGCUGGGGUUGUGGCUCAGUGAUAGCACACUCGCCUAGCACGUGAGGCACUAAGUUCAAUCCUCCACACCACAUAAAAAUCAAUAAAUAAAAUAAAGGCUUUGUGUCCAACUAUAACUUAAAAAAACUUACUGAGUGCAGGCAUCUUUUAGAAAUUAAAACAAUAAAAGAUUUUUGAGGGGUGAGAAGAAUUUUCUAAGAGGCUAGAUGAAAAAAAGAGUAUAUAUUUCAUGACUCCAUUUUUAUAAACCUCUAGAAAAUGGAAACUGAUAGUGGCCACAAGCAAGACAGUAGUUACCUGGAGAUGGGGGUACAGGGAGGUGUAGGAGGGAGAUAUUGCCAAGAAGCAUGCUGUAGUUUGAAUAUGGUUUGGUCCACAGUAUAUUUGGUAUUGAAAGGUUGGAAGACAACUUUAAGAGGUGGGGCCUAGUGGGAGAUGAUCACCCCUCUAAUAAUCACCCCUCUGAAGAUACAAAUGCUCAUCAUGCUGAUUGUAGGACUGAAUUUGUUUCCAUGAGAGCAGAGAUGUUAUAAAGGAGCAAUUUUGACCAUUUCCUACUCUGUUUCUCUCUUUCCAUGUGAUUUACCUCUCACAUACACACACACAUACUUCCUUCAUCAUGUGAAGCCAUCAGCCCAUGUUAUGACAUAGCAGGAAGGCCCUCAUCGGAGGCCAACUAGGUGAGGCUGCCCAAUCUCAGACUUUCAGCUUCCAAAAUUGUGAAAUCUUUUUUUAAAAAAUAAAGUACCCAUCCCCAGGUAUUUUACUAUCACAAAAGGGACUAACAGCAUGUGGAAAUUUUAAGGAAUGAUGGAUAUAUUCACUCUUAUAAUUGUGAUUAGUAUGUGUGUGUGAUAAAACAUACGAACUUUAAAAAAAUAGUUGUAGGUGGACCCAAUACCUUUAUUUUAUUUAAUUAUUAUGUGAUGCUGAGGAUCAAACCCAGUGCCUCACAGAUGCCAGAACAAGUGCUCUACCACUGAGCCACAACCCCAGCCCACAUACAAACUUUUUAAUCAUGUACAGGUUCUUGUGCUUCAAUUAUAGUUCCAUAAAUUAAGCAUGAAACUCUUUUCAUGGAUGAAAACAACUUUGAAAAAGAUAAAGCUUAAAGACAUUUGUAGGAGGAGCCAUGUUGCUUAAAACUUCUCCAUGAACAAUGAAUGCUCCAUUUUCUUGCCAGCACAUGAGGCAGACCACUCCCAAUGGCUUACUCUACCCCAAAUUUCUUAAGUGGGCUGAUUGGUUCUGGAUUUGUUCUUUCAAUCACCAUUACUUUCCUAGGGAUGAUAGAGUGAGUUCUUUAGCCCUUCUGAGAGCCAUUAGUUGCUUACAUAAUAGGGUAUGGAGUAACAAACACCACUAUGAGGUCAGUGUUCCUCAGGUGACUCCUUGUAUAUUUUUUGAGAUACUGCCACUCACAUGCCUCACCUUAUACAGUUUCUGGAAAUCUACAUCUAAAGCCAUACACAAAUAGGGAGAAACAUGAAGUCCUUUUCGCCUUGCCUGUGGGAUCAAGUAUAAAGAGGAAGUUUGUCUUCAGUCCUCAGUCCUCACUUUGUCUUUAUCCUUCAAUGUGUGGAUAACAAUUUAUCUUUUGAACUCCAACUCCACAGAUCCCACAUCUCUCCCUUCUCAAACACCUACUUCUACCUUUUAUUUGUUCCCACUCCAGCAUCAGAGGCUCACAGAGAUACACAUCUUUUCACAUCAGAUUGAUUUUAUUUUCACAACCAUUAAUGUUAGUAACCUGUUGUAAAAUUUAGCCAUUUCUUAGCUGCCAGACCUCUGGACACUCUGCAGAUUAUUCUGAGGUCUCUGGCCCCACUCAAUUACUUGCUGUCCAGAUCAUCACUUGAAAUGCUGGAGGUUUCUGGGGUCUUUUCCAUUUCUGGCUCUCUAUUCAGUUUUUCAUUUAGCCGAUGAUAAUGACCAAAGAGUAUUGUUCCUUUAGUUUUCUUAGAUUUUUUCAGAGAUGUGGAAGGCUUUUCUGAGUCUCUUUUGCUUGAAUUAUUUUGAAGUGUUUUUUUACCCUUAUUGGUGGACUUUAGUAUCUGUAAGGACAACAGAGAGGCCAUAAGGGCAUUGGUUUGGGAAAAGAAGAUGGGAUAUACAUGUGAAGUAGGGGUUUGUGCCAGAUGAAAAAUAAAUAGGAGUCUUAGGUCGUGGGGAAUGAAUGCAGAAAGGAGAAGCUUGGGUUGGGUUAUCUUACCUUGCUGCCUCUUCUGCAUCUGGAGUGAUGAUAGGAAGUCUUCAUAUUCUUUUUUUCUUUCAUCGAUGAUGUUGACUGGGCCAUAUCUGCAUUAGGCUUCUGUGAUUUCUUGGUUGCCUUAGCCAUACUGAAGCCUCCAAGUGGUCUUCUGAAGAGCUGUAAGGAUCCUAUGCAUAUAUGCCCUCCCAAGACAAUGAAGGGCCACACCCUUCAGCCUUGAUUGGCCAGCAAGUUACUCCCCAGCCAAUGAGGACUAAGGAGGAGGUUAGACCUCACAAAGCACUAUCUCUGACACUUAUGUACAUGAAGAGGCUAGGGAGGUUGCUAGGGAAACCAUGCUAUAGCUUAGAUAUUGCAAAUCAACACUCUUGGCACUUCUGGGAUGUGGGGGAGAGGAGAUGCUAGGAAGGCAAAAAUGAUCUGGUUGGGCAAAGGAGACUUUUCUUUAAUAUACCUGAAAGAGCCACCCCACCCUAAUUCUUAUAUAGUGUUCAAUAGUGGUAGUACAGGUGGUAGAGAUCUUCCUCUACCAAAGUAUUCCCCAAAGCUACUCCUACAAACUCAUUCUGCUAUCUUUCCCUUAGCCAUUAGUUAGUAUUUUGGAUAAUGUACCUAAAAUCCAUCUAAAAGUAAUAUGGUUAUAUUUUUCUUUAAUUAUCAGAAGAUAUGUGAAUAAUUCUACAAACAAGACAUAUUCCCAUUAAUGAAUAUCAAUAUACUUACUGCAUUUGGCAUUAAAGGCUGCCAAUUUUUAAAAUUGUUUUCUUCCAGGCCUUCAACUUAUAGAAAAGGAAUAAAAUUAACUACCCACUGACGAAAUUGCAUUUUAUCCUUAUUUUUAUUCUAUUUUUGGAGCCUGGUCACAUUAUCAUCAUUGAGUUUUGCAAGAUUCCUUCUCUUUUAUUCAAAUUUUUCUUUCUUCUUAGAAUCUAGCACUAUUUCCCUUUUCAACAAUAGAAUUAUUAUUUUAUAUUUGAAUUCUGUCCUUGUAUAUGGCCUUGUUAAAUGUAUGUUUGAAUGUAUCAUAAUUGGUUUCUGUGUUUUUGUUGCCACCUAUAUCUCUGGUUCAUUGCUUCUAACGUUGCAACAUCCCAUUGACAUAGUACACCAACUUUCAUCCUCCAUUCACUUCCCCAUUUAAGAGACACCCAUGUUUGUUCUAUACUCUACUGACACAAAUGAUGAUAUAAUGAACAUCCAUAUUCAUGUUCCCUUGUGAACUUCUGAAUAUAUUUCUCUGAAAUAUAUUCAGGAAUAAAAAUUCAAGGUCAUAGAUACACAUAUUUUUCUUAGUUCAGGCUGCUAUAGCAGAAUACCAUAGAAUCUGUGACUUAACAACAGACAAUUCUGAAGGCUAGAACCAUGAGUCCAGGGUAGCAGCAUAGUCAGGUUCUAUUGAAGGUUGGCUUCCAGGUUACGUCUUCAUUUGCUUUCUUUGGUGGAUGCAUACAGAAGGAGAGAUUUAGGUGUCUUCCUCUUUUAAUAAGGGCAUUAAUCUGAGACACAGCCCUCAUGACCAAAUUUAAUUAUCUCCCAUCUCCAAUUACCAUCACAUUAAUGAUAAGGGUAUUAACAUGUGAAUUUUGGGAGGCACAUUCAGUCCAAAGCAAUAAUUUUACUAAAUAUUGCCACAUUGUUUUCUAGAAUAUAUCAGUCCACCUUCCCAACAGAAUUGUAUUUUCUGUUUCCCUACACAAUCAUCAAUUUUUUAUUUAGAAUGCAGCUUCUCAUAGGAUCUCAGUGAUCUUAACCAAUUGAUGUUUAUACCCUUGUGUAAUCCAGUUCAGUUGAAUGGCAUGAGUAUGGGCUGUAUCUAGAGAUUUGCUUCUAAUAGCUAAAAUCCUACAAAAGUAAUGGAAUGCCAUUAACAUCAUCAAUUUUAUCUUUGCUAGAACACUUUCUUGGUAGCAAUCUCUCUUGCACAUGUGCUUUCUCAUUUUUAUUAAAACAUAUUAUGAAAUGCUCAAUAAAGAGGCCCACAUUUUAAGGAAUACCUUAGGAGGAACUGAGUCCUUAGCAAAAUAAACUGCAGAGCACUGAAUCCAAAUAACAGCUACUUGAUUUAAUUAGGAAGAGGAUCCUUCCCAGUUGAGCCUUGGGAUAAUGCACCCUUAUAAAACAGACCCAGAGCUAGAGGACAACCAAUCUGAACCCAGAUUCUUGACUCAUAGAAACUAUGAGAUAAUUUCUUAUUAAUAAUAUUUCUCAGUUCUACAAAUAUCUCAGGGGUUCCCUCACAUGUGAAAUCUAGAAAAGAAAAGCCUAAAGGUAGCUGUAGGUUGUGAUUUUCGAUAUGUACCCAAGUGGACCUGCUAAUAGUUUAUUCCUGAAAUGUCCAAAUCCCUUAACAUAUGAAAGAGCUGAAUUCACCUUUCAUCUGUGAAAGGAGAAUGAAUCACAAGGGACUGAAUGAAUUUAACAAAUUCCUGUCACAUGCUGGGGAGAAGUGACUGAGGAACCAAAAGGGGGCUAUAUAUGUUCAAAAAAUUAAGCUAGAAUAAAGAAGAGUCUUCAUUCUGACUGGAGUGAAAUGAUAUCUUAGAGUAGUUUUGAUUGCAUUUUCUGAUUGCUAGAGAUGAUGAGCAUUUUUUCAUAUAUUUGUUGAUUGUUUAUCCUCUUCUUAAAAGCAGCAUACUACAGGGUCAUAGCCACAUCAAUGUUUAUAGCAGCACAAUUCACAAUAGCUAAACAGUGGACCCAACGUAGAUGCCCUUCAGUGGAUGAAUGGAUAAAAAAAAAUGUGUCAUAUAUACACAAUGGGAUAUUACUCAGCACUAAAAGAGAAUAAAAUCUUGGCAUUUGCAGGUAAAUGGAUGGCAUUGGAGAAGAUAAUGCUAAGUGAAUUUAGCCAAUCCCCCCAAACAAAUGCUGAAUGUUUUCUCUGAUAUAAGGAGGUUGACUCAUAGUGAGGUAGGGAGGGGGGGGAACAUGGGAUAAAUAGAUGAAUUCUAGAUAGGGAAGAGGGGAUGGAGGGAAAAGGAGGGGGCAGGGGAUUAGCAAGGAUGGUGGAAUGUGAUGAACAUCAUUAUCCAAAGUACAUAUAGGAACACACGAAUUGGGUGUCAACCUACUUUAUAUACAGAGAUAUGAAAAUUGUGGUAUAUGUGUGUAAUAAGAAUUUUAAUGCACAAAAAAACCCACAAAGUACAUGUAUAAAGAAAUGAAUUGGCAUGAAUAUACUUUAUAAAAGAUAUGAAAACUUGUGUUCUAUAUGUGCAAUAAGAAUUGUAAUACAUUCAGCUGCCAUGUAUUUUAAAAAAUAAAAUCAAUAAAAUUAGUCUUCCAAACAAUUGGCUGUGUCAGGUUUAUUUUCUUACAAAAUUUAGCCACUUAUAUUUUUUCCCCCAGCAACAUGAUCAUUUCAUUUUGGGUUUAUUGGAAUGCAUUUAUUUAAACAAUUUUAUUCUUAGUUUAAGUUUUACCCCUUUUGCCAUUGACAUCUUGCCAGUGGGUUUUUAUCUUCUCAAAGUUUUAAACUAAUCAUUUCUUAAUUUUGGAAAUUUUCUUUAUUUUUUAUUCCACUUUAUUCAUUGUCUUUAUUUCCCCCUAAAUUUCCUCUAUCUUUCUUGUAGAAUUUUCCUCUGAUUAAAUUGAAUACAUAGCUUAUUUUUUUCUAAUCCAAUUAUUUGAAGCACUAAAUUUCUCUCAAAAUUAUUAGCUAUAGUUACAAAUCCUUCCAUUUCUAAAUAGUGUUAUUAGUAUCUUAAUACUUUAAAACUAUUUCUUCUUUAAUCCAAGAAUUAUUUAGUAGUAUGAUGUUAGUUUCCAAGCAUAUUAGAUGUUUAAGCUAUCAUUAAAAUAUAUAUUUCUAAUUAUUUUACUGUUAAAUAACACUCUGUAGGAUCACGGCUCAAGUUUUUUGAGGCUUCCUUUGUGAAAUUGUACAUGGUCAAUUUUUGAGGCUGUUCUUUGAGUACUUGACAAUAAUAUGUAUUCUCUAUUUGCCCAGGAAACUUUGUCUAAAUACCAGUUUCAUUUAUUACAUAUAACAUUCAAAUGUUCUAUCUUUGUUUCCUUUUUUGCCUUUCACUUUUGAUUCCUAGUUGCCUGGUAUAAUUAUUUCCAUUUCUUUCUAUUCAUCUGCCAAUUUUCUAAUGAAUUCCUAAGUUUUGUCAGCAUUCAACCCCUUGCCCAAUGACUAUCCAGUAGGGUACAUGUGUGAACUUCACAAACGUGCCUGGUCUCCAUCUCAUGGUCCUAAAACCAACCUUCCCUGCAAAGCCCCAGAACACCUGCAAGCAUUAUGAAAAAAAUGUGAAUCUCUGGAGAUCUAAUAAGGAUAGGGGAAGCCCCCACAAAUUUGUACUUUUUGAAAGUAGAAAUAAAACAUUUGAGACUUCCGCUAGAUGGGAAAUUAUUAAUCAUAAUUCACUUGGCUUCAUUAUUACUCAGUGAGCUGUUGUGGAAAAGAAUGUGACUGGCUAUGCUCUCUAUCAAACAGUAGACAUAUAAUAGGAACUUCAUAAAUUCUUGGAUGAAUGAGUGAAUGGUUAUACAGAAAUAGAUUCUAACUGCAAAUUCAAAGAGAUACAAAUAAAGCAUGGAAAGUUUCUGGACAAGAAUUAACAACACCCUUUCACAGAUAAAAUACAAGUGUUUUGCUAUAUUUCUACGUGUUUUGCUUCAAAAAAUCUAAUUCCUCCUGCUAGUAAUUAGUGUAAAAUACAAUAGUGUCACUCUUAUCCUUAGUUUUGCUUUCCAAUGUUUCAGCUACCUGUAUCAACUGUGGCCCAAAAGUAUUUAAUGGAAAAUUAGUUCCACUCUGUCAUGAAUGGGACAUGAAUCAUCCCUUUAUCCAGCAUAUUCAGUCAUAUAUACUAACUGUUCCAUGCUGUAAUGGUUUGAUAUUUGAGGAUCAAGAAUUGCCCAUUGCAGAUGAUCCACCUUUAAUAACAGCCUGACACUACAUAAAAUGCCCUUGUCAUUCCUCACUUCUCAUCACAAAAGCAAUAUAUCAUCCUGCAUCACCAUAACAAGAGCAAGUACAGUACAAUAAGAUUCAUUGAGAAAGAAAUCACAUUCACAUAACUUUUAUUACAAUGUUGUUAUAAUUGUUCUAUUUUAGUAUGAUUGAUUCUUGUUAAUCUCUUAAUGUGCCUAAUUAAUUAAACUUUAUCAUGGAUAUAUGUAUGGGAAAAACAUAUAUGGGUUUGGGUAAUAUUUACAGUAUAAGGCAGUCAUUGGCAGUCUUGAAACAAAUCCUCCAAAGAUAAUGAGGGGACUAUUAUAAUGGCAUUUUAUUUUAUAUGUUUUAAAAUAAUCAUUCAAAAGUAAGCCUAUGGGCUGGGGUUGUGGCUCAGAGGUAGAGUGCUCACCUAGCAUGUGUGAGGCACUGGGUUCAAUUCUCAGCACCAUAUUAAUAUAUAUAUAUAUAUAUAUAUAUAUAUAUAUAUAUAUAUAUAUAUGCAUAUAAUAAAAACACUCAAUAUAUGUUUGCUAAAUACAUGAUAGAAUUCCUUUGGGACAUGUUAUUUCAAAGAAAUUUUAUAAAGUAGGCUAAUGUGUUCUGAAAACCCAGUGUCUUAUAGGAUGGCUAUAAAGAAAGAAUAUUUAGAGUUGCUGAACUUUAUCCACCCCAUAUUUACAAUUUGGUGAUUUUCAUAUCUGAACUAAGUUUUCAAAGCCCCAGAGAAAUUAAUAGUGAACUACUAAAUAAGUGAAAUAUUCUUUCUGCAUAUAAUGCCAAGAAAAGAGUCGCUAUGCAGUUGUCAAUAAUGACAUGACAGAAUGAUGGAUAUUUCUUAUUAUUUGUGAAAAACAUGCAGUGUGUCACUGAUAAAACAAUUUUACAAUAUGGGAAUUUUGUCUCAUUAAUUAUAAACCUUUGAUUGACCAUAUACAUUUUCAAAAUCAAUGAAAAUGUUUUUUUCAUUUACAAACAGUAAUGUUGUGUUUUCAUGUUUUAGUUUGUAAUUAUUUACAUGCAUCACAAUUAAAUAAUUUUAGGGUUUUGUUGAUAGACCAGAUUGUCAAGCUCUUGUCUAUCUUUUAUAAACAACUAUAGAUAAAACUUUGUUAUAUUUUGCUGUAAGGACCACAUAAUGUUUAAGUAAACUUAAUUUUUUAUCCCUUUAAUUGAAUGAUUUUUUUUUUUGCUUUUCAUAAUUUGUUUUGCAAUUUAAUAAGUGGAAAUUGUUAUUUUAUAUAUAUUUUUAAAAAUUAAUCCAUUAGGGUACAGUUUCCAAUCUUAUCUGAAAGUGGAUUUAGUAAUCCUUUAUAUUAAACUCUGUUUUACAUAUAUUGAGGUAGUUUACAUUUUUUUUGAAUUUUUCCUUUUUGAUGACAAAUUGAUUAUAAUUGCAAACAAUAUUAAAGAUUAUAAACCCUUUAUUACCCAGCAUUUCCCUGUACUUUCAGACUUUAUCAUGUUUAAUACACUUUCAAUGACAACACACUAAAUAAGGGUUCAGUAGAUCACUGUCCAUGGGGGGUCAAUUAUGGACCACAGUCAUCUGGCUUUAUGAAUAAAAAUUUAUUGGAACAUAGUCCUGACCAUUUAUUUAUGUAUUCUUUAUGACUGAAUUUGUGCCAAAAAAGUAGAGAUUUGUACACCUACAAAUCUAAAGUAUUUAUUAUCUGAUCCUUUACAGAAAUGUUUGCUUAGCCAAAAUUUUACAAAUCAAAUCAGAAUACUGAAUAUCACAGAAGUUCAGUAACCUACUCCAGUUUAUAUUGCUGUAAAAGUGAUAGAGGUGAUAUUUACAUCCUGUCUCCUAGAUCCUAAGGGUCUUGCUUAUAACAUUUAAAAUGCAGCUUUAUUAUUUGAUAGUGCUGAAAUCACCCUCCCACCCCAACAAUGGUCCUUAUGUUUUAAUGUAUCACUUUUAAAAUACUGAUUAUAUCACUUUACUUUUACCUUUUAUGCAAAAAUAUUAAAAAGCAUGGAUUUACCUCUGUGUACCUAUUUGAAUAUAUCUCAUAGACUUCAUAUUAACUGCAUUGAUUCCCUUUGUAUUUAAUGUAAUCUAUAAUUUUUCAUUUAUUUUUCCUUUGAACUAAUUAUUUUUUGUGAACAUAUCUUGAUUUUUUAAGUUGUUAAAUUUAUUUCUUACUAAAAUAUAGAUUGGAAUUUUAAAUUAUUUGAUAUCAUAUCUUCUCAGUGUGAGUAUAUAGUUUUUAAAGUACAAAGAUUAGAUAUUACUGUCUAUAUCAUAUAUAAUUUAUUAAGUUGACAUUCUUAUUAAAAUAUAACAGCAUUAGAGAAAAAUACACAAAUAUUAAAGUACAGAUAAAAAAUUACCAGAAAGUGAAAACGUGUUUGUUUGCUUUACCUAGGUAAAAUACAGAAGACAGUGAUCUCUUUAAAAUUACCAUGGAGGCCCAAUUACUAAUAUAUCAGCCCAUUAUGCUUUUUAUUUGCUUUUCCCUAAUGAGUAUCAAUAUUGAACAUCAUUUUAGUCACUUAUUUUCCAUCAGUAUAUCAUCUUUGAAAAGUAUAUUUUCUCUAAUUGAUUUUCCCUAGAGUUUAAGAGUUUGUAUGGCCUAGAUCCUAGUCCUUUAUCAGAUAUGUACUUUGUAAAGUUUUCAGUUGGUUAAAUAUGAUGAUGUCCAAUAAUCAAUCUUUCCUUUUAUGGAUUAUGGUUUUAUUAUCAAGUUUAAGAACUCUUCCUCCAGUCCUGUAUCUCAAAGUCUUUGUUACAUUUUUUCCCUGAAAAUUUUAUAGAUUUACAAUUCACAUAAGGUUUGUGGGCUAUUUUGAGUAACCUUGUAUAUGGAAUAAGAUAUAGAUCAAAAAUAUUUUUUUAAAAAAUUUGGGUGUCCAAUUGCUCUAGCACGAUUUGUUGAAAACACUAUUAUUAUUCCAUUAAAUUGUUUUCCAACUAUGUCAAAAUCAGUUGAACAUACUUGUAUGCAUCUAUUUCUGCAUUCUCUAUUUUGUUCCACUGAUUCACAGGUCUAUGUGCCUCUGGUACCACAAAGUAUUUAUUAAUGUGGUAUAUAUUAUUUUUUCUUUUUUUCAUUCUUUUUUAUUGACUUUUUUAAAAAAAUAAAUGUCAGCAGAAUGUAUUACAAUUCUUAUUACACAUAUACAGCACAAUUUUUCAUAUCUCUGGUUGUAUACAUAGUAUAUUCACACCAAUUUGUGUCUUCAUACCUGUACUUUAGAUAAUGAUGUCUAUAGGUCAACUGAUUCUUCGUAUUUUAUUAUUUAUUUUCAAAGUUGUUUUAACUAUCCCACUUCAUUUAUAUUUCCAUAUAUGUUUUCAAAGCAUUUUACUUAGAUCUAAUAAAAUCUUGCUGAAAUUUACCUAGAAAUUGCAUUUAAUCUGUACAUCAAUUUGGGGACAAUUGAAAUCUUUACUGUCAUUCUUUCAAUCCAAGAACUCUGUGUAUGUCUACAUUUAUUUAUAUCUUUUUAAAUUUUCUUUAAGCAGAAGUUUGAAAUACUAUACAAGUUUUUUUACAUUUAUACCCAUUUCAACCCAUUUUUCAUGAUUGUACAUGGAUUUGUAUUUUUAAUUUUUGUAUUCAUAUAUUCAAUGUAAGUGUGUAGGAAAACUAUUAUGUAUGUAUACCUUGUAUCUUAUGAUCUUGUUGAACACAUUUAUUAAUUGUAAGAUUUUUUUUAAUUCAUCCCUAAGAUUUUCUACACAAUCAUGUUAUAUGAAAACAGGAUAAUUUUCUUUCUUUCUGAUUUAUGUGUAUUUUACUAUCUUUUCUGGCCUAAUUGUACUGUCAGAAUCUUACAGUACUAUGCUAAAUAGAGUGUUGAGAGUAGAUAUCUAAUCUAGUUUUUUUUUAAAGAGAAAGAGAGAGAGAGAGAGAGAGAGAGAGAGAAUUUCAAUAUUUUUUUUUCAGUUUUUGGCGGACACAACAUCUUCGUUUAUAUGUGGUGCUGAGGAUGGAACCCGGGCCGCACGCAUGCCAGGCAAGCGUGCUACCAUUUGAGCCACAUCCCCAGCCCUCUAAUCUAGUUUUAUUCCCAAUGCCUGGGGGAAAGCAUUCAGUCUUUCACCAUCAGAAUGUAGUUGUAGGGUGCUCUUUAUCAAGAUGACAAAGUCACCCUCUAUUCAUAAUAUUUUAAAAAUUUUUAUCAUGAAUGUACAAUGAAUUUUGUCUGCAUUAAUUAAUAAGAUUAUGUGAUUUUAUACUAUAGCAUACUUAAAUAUUGCAAUAUAUUGCUUAAAUUUCAAAUGCUGAAGCAGGCUUGUAUCCCUGGAGUACCAUACUCAGUCAUGGUAUUUAAUUUGUUUCCCAUAUUUAUGGAUUACAUUUAUUAUCAUUUUGAUGAUAUUUUUUAUUUGUUCUAAUCAAUAAAAAUUUUUGUUUAUAUGAUCAUGAGGGAUAUUGAUCCAUAGAUUUGUUUUUAUAUAUUGUUUUGUCUGGUUUUGGUAUCUGAAUAAUUGUGAUUUUAUAGAAUAUUUUAGGAAGUAUUACCUCAUCUUUCAAUUUUUGAAGAAUUUGAGAAGGUUUGAUGUUAGUUCUUUCUUAUAUUUUUGCUAGUAUUUACCAGUGAAAUCAUCUAGUCCUGGGCAAUAAUUUUUGUGGAGGUUUUUGAUUACUAACUUAAUCACUUUACUUAUUAUUAUAGGUCUAUUAUUUUUUUUUUUUAUUUUUCACUAAUCAUUUUGGUAGCAUGUGAGUUUUUAGAAUUUAGUCCAUUUUGUCUUGGUUAUCUAAUCUGUUCAGGUUUAAAUAGUCAUAGUAUUUUCUUAUAAACCCUUUCAUUUAUGUAAGUUUGAUACUAUCAUCUCCAUCUUUAUUUCUUUUACUUUCUUUUCUCUUUUUUCUUUUCUGCCUCACCCUAGCAAUACUUAAAUACUUUUUACCACUGAGCUGUACCCUUGAUGCCCCCAUUUUUAUUUAUGAUUAUAGUAAUAAGAUACUCAUUUUUUUAGUCUAGCUAAAAGUUUGUCAAUCAUGUAGAUUAAAAUAAAACUUCUGGUUUGUUUAUCCUUUCUAGUGUUGUUCUAUCCUCCUUUUCAUUUAUUUCCACCCUGAUAUUUAUUAUUUUCUUCCUUCUAAUAGCUUUGGAUUUAACAUACUUUUGUUUUUCUAUUUCUUUAAGAUAUAAAGUUAGUUAUUAAUUUUGGAUAAUUUUCUUCAUUUCUGUUUUCAAUAAAGGCAUUUUCAGCUAUAAUUUUACAUUUGAAUGCUGCUUUCAAAAUAUCCCAUGUUUUGAUAUAUUUUGCUUUCAUUCAUCUCAAGCUAUUUUUUUAUUCUUUUUUGGAAAACAUUACAUAUGUACUUGAAAAGAAUGUGUAUUCUGCAGUUGUUGGGUGUAGUUGUUGAUAUGUCUAGCUGGUUUAUAAUAUUUUUAAUAUCCCUUAUUUCCUUAUUAGUCUCCUAUCUAGUUAUAUGUAUUAUUGGAAGUAGAAUACUUAAAUCUACAACUUUUUAAAUUGGUUCUUUUUAGUAAUACAUGACAAAAAAUCUACAACUGUAAUUGUAGAAUUGUCUAUUUCAUCCUUGAUCCUCUCAAUUUUUUUUUUGUACCAGGGAUUGAACCCACAGGUGCUUAACCACUGACCCACAUCCCCAGCCCCCCCCUUUUUUGUAUUUUAUUUAGAGACAGGAUCUUGCUGAGUUGCUUAGGGCCUCUCGUAUUUUAUUUAGAGACAGGAUCUUGCUGAGUUGCUUAGGGCCUCUCUAAGUUGUUGAGCUUAGCUUUGAAAUAGCAAUCCUCCUGCCUCAGCGUCCCAAAUUGCUGGGAUUACAGGCAUGUUGCCACCCUGCUCAACUCAAUUGUUUUUCAUGUAUUUUGAGGCUUUCUUGUUAAGUCUGUAUAUGUUUAUAAUUAUUACAUUGUCAUGAUGUAUUUUCCGUUUUAUCAAGACAUGUAAUGACAUCUGAAGAAAUAAAAUAUGUUUUUUGCUGUCUAUUCACAAUUAUUUACUUUGUCUAUUUUGUCCAAUAAUGAUUUAUUCUCAGCAUGCAAUACCUUUUCUGUUGUUUUACCUUCAGCCUGUGUGUUUCUCUAUGUCUGAAUUGAACAAUAUACAGUUGGAUUAUGUUUUUUAAUAUUUAUUAUUUUAGUUGUAAUUGUUAUGAAACCUUAAUUUUAUUUAUAUGUAUAUUUAUUUAUUUAAUGUCCUGCUAAGGAUAGAACCCAGGGCCUCACAUAUGCUAGGUGAGCGCUCUACCGCUGAGUUACAACCCCAGCCCCAGUUGAAUUAUGUUUUUAAACGCAUUGUGCCCAUAUCUGCUUUAUAAUUAGAGAUUAAUUCAACCUGUUAUAAUAUUCAAUUGAAGAAAUAUACUUGAAAACUAAAAACUAACUCUAAUGCAAAGUCAAUCAUACUGUCAAAUCAUAAAUGCCGUAUCUACCAAAUAUCAUUUAAAUAUAAAGCCUAAUUUUUAUUUGUGACUUACUUAAGUUUCAAGAGGUCAUUCUUUAAGGAACUGUUAAUAUGAACUAUUUUUUUUUUCUUUUUCUCUUAUGUAAGGUUGUUUAGAUGCUGGCAUUUUGGAAAAACACCAUGCCCAAGAUCUACAGGACAAAAUGCUGACAAAGAUAUGAUUUUAGAGUUAAGGAAUCUAAACAAAAGGAAGAAUUGCAAGAUGAGAGUUAGGGUUGCUGCAAGUCAAAAUACAAAAGUUAAUAUGCUGUAUUAUCAUUUUACUAUUAUGAUUUAUACACUUUUAAUUGUGGGGAUAUAUAGCAAAAUGUUUAUCAUAAAAUAUUUCAUGAAACAGAGUUAUAUUAAUCCAAAUAAAAUAAUUUGAAAAAUAAUUGGAAAGUUACAGAGCUAAGAUUGUAUAUCAAACAGAAAAUCAGGAAAAUAAAAAUAAAAUUAAUAUUCAUUAUACAAAAGUGAAAAUCAGCAUGUGAUGAAUAUAAAAACAUAAUCAAAAUAGGAAAAACAUAUUUAUAGGUAAUUGCUACAUAUAGCCUUCUUGUAUUUGUCAGUGUUCCUCACAGAAAAAAAAAUCUAUAGGAGAUAGAUAUUGAUAAUGAUAUAGAUAGAAAGGGAUUCAUUAUGAAGGAUUGCUCACAUGUUUAUAAAGUCUGACUGUUCCCAUGAUCUACCAACUGCAAGCUGAAGGCCCAGGAAAACCAGUAAUGUAGUUUAAAUUCACAAAGGAAACACAUAAUAUUUGGGGAGCAAAUAUUAUGGUCUAACACAAAUGAUUAUUAGUUUUACACCAAAGUUUACUCAUCAUAGUAGCAGUACUUGUUUUAUACUACUAUUAUCAGUAAUUGUAUUAUGAAGAGGAGAAGUACUUAUAUUUCCUGAUUCAUGACUUACUAGGCAUUCAAUUUCUAUGAGUCUUUUAGGUAUAUUAUAUAACCCUCAGGAAAAACUCAUGUUGCUGAAGCUUAUACUAACUCACCAACACAAAAUUGUCAUGAGGAUUGGUCACACAAUAUGUGUCAAUAUUUUCAUAACCUGAAUAUCAAAAAGAAAAUAGUAAUUAUAUUAGCACUAUGCAAUAUACUAUACUGAACAAUAAUAAUUAUGACAUCUUAAUUUUGUAUUCACAACCUACUUAAUUAAUAUUCACAACUUACUUCAUUAAUAUUCCCAUCCUACUUCAUUAAUAUUCCCAUUCAUAACCUGUAUAAAUAACAACAAGAAUAUGCUUUUUGCAUUUGUUCUAGCAAAUGUUCAUUGUCACUAUUGUUUUUCCUUAAAUCAAGCAUUCUCUAGUUUUUGGUGUUUCAUCAGAAGACUAGAAAAUAUUGCAAACUCUAAUGCAAAGUCAACCAUUAUAUGAGGGCAGAGUUUUUAGAACUGAAAGUGGAAACUUGAAAUUCAGUGAGUAUGAUGACAUAGAGUAUAAGUAUAUAGAAGUAUCAUUAUAGACAUAUCAUCCUCCACCUAGAAAUAAGUGAAGUAUAACAAUAACCAGUAGAUAUUUAACGAUGGAAAGAGAAAGGAAAGGUGAAAAAUCAGUUCUCAGAUGAGUAACCAAGAUAAUUUAUUAAAAUGUAUGGAAAUAGUAAAUCAGAAAAAUAGAGGAAACACUAAAAAAUUUCUAGAAAUAUAACUUUACUUUCCAAUCAUCAAUGCAGCAAAUAGCAUAAUCUUCCUGAAAAGCACAUGAAUACCAAUCAAAAGACAUGUAUAAUUGGUAUGUUAAUCAGGCCAGAAGUAAGUAUUAUAAUACAGUACUUGAUUUUUCUCAAAUUCAUUGAUUGCCUGUUUAUAAUUAACAAUUUCAAUAUUUUAUACAACUUUUUGAUAAUAUUCUUCAAAUGCUUACCCCCUAAUAUAAAUAGAUGAUGUUAAAAAAUAUACAUAUAUAUAAAAAGCAAAUGGAAGGGGGAUUUGCCACACCAGAUCCUAAAUGGUAUUACCAAUGGUUAUGGUAAACAAUACAAGGUAACUAUAACUUCCAAAGUCAAAAAGUUUCCUACAGUAAAAUUGAUAGGUUAUAACUGCACAUGAACUUAUUCUAUUUACUGAGCAAAAAUUAAAUUAAAUACUCACCUAAGAACUAAAGUAAAAUGUUUACAAAAUGCAAUUCACAGAUAAUUUUUGACAUAGUAAACCAAAACACCAUUUACCUGGAAUGCAUAUAUAUGGGAUACUAUUUAGGGAAUGCACCUGAUAUAUGAAUGCCCACAGAGUGCUAUAAUUUGUAGAGUAGCAUACACACACUUGUGUGCACACACACAUACACAUAAGCAGAAAAAUAAUUCAGCCAAAUUUAUUAUAGAUUAAUGAAUGUAAGAUCAAAACUCAAGAAUAUUUUAACUAUUAAGGAAUCAUGAAGCUAAUAUUAGCUAAAGGAGGGAUAUGAGAUAUAGAAAUUGCCUGGGUUGACUACUUUUGUUGGAGAGUAAUAGAAUUGUCUCCAAAAACUUGAUAAGGUAAGUCCAUUCCUUUCUAAUACUAUAUAUAUCAAUUCACACCAUUCAUUGCAGGACAGUGAAAAAAUCAGUCUCUAAAAAACACUAAUAUUACAUUUUCCCUGAAAUAUCACCAUCUUGAUAACCAUUACUUAUUCUCUACAUUUGAUAUUAACCAGUUGAAACCCAGCUAAAUGAAACUCAAAUAGAACAUAACAGAUAGCACUGGCUAGAGAGUAAACACCAAAUCAUAUGAUCAAGCUACAACACAAUUAUGAAAACUCUGGGCUAAAGAUUAAAACACUUAUGCAAUACUUAAAUAGAAAAGGAACACAUGAGAUGCACAAUAUAAAUUUUAAUCUGAAAUGGAAAUUUUAUGAAUGAUCUAGGGUUCUAAUCAGAAAGACUCAUUUAAUUAAUUCAUAUUAUACAUGUGCAUUAGUUUAAACAUAUGAUAUAUAUUUAUCUCAGCAUGGUAGUCACUGAAAAUUUUGGAAAGUCAAGCUCUGCACAGUAUGUUUUGAGAUGAAACAAAUGAAACAUACCCAAUGGGAUAUUAAUUCAGACAUGAGUCCACACAUUUGUAUGCACAUGGAAGAAUAACAUUGAAUGAUGAUCAUCAUAAACUUCAUAUUAAUUAAUGAAGUAAAUUCCUUAGGGAAGUAUCAAAUAUUUCCUUAUUGAUCAAGUUCUACUGAAAAUUAACAAUAUUUGAUUCAAAAAUUAAUAGAACAUUACAUAUUUAAAUGACUUGCUAUGUUUGACAAAUCAUUUAGGGCAGGGAAAUUUCCAACAUUUUAACAGGAUCCCCAGAAUUUACUACUAGCAUGAGUAAUACAGAUAUUAAGAGCAAUGUUAGUAGUAACUAACAAUAUGGAUGAUGAUAAUGAAAGUUAAAAAAGUGUAACAUUUUCUAAAUGGAUCCUUAGCUUGCAUGACAUAUUCUUGGGAAUUUCAUGAAAAAUAGCUUAUUUUACCAUCCCAUUGCCUGUAAAAUACUAAAAACUAAUGACACAAGUUUGUUGUGUGGUGAAAUUGGGUGACAUUAACUUUCUUAUGUACAUAUUUGAAUAUAACAGUUAAUCUCACCACUGUGUACAUCCACAAGAUUGGGAUCCUAAUUAGGAAAAUAAAUACCCCAUGCUUUUAUAAAUAUAUCAAAUAGAUUCUACUGUCAUGUAUAAAUAAAAAGAACAAAUAAAAAUUUUAUUUUAAAUCUGACCUCACAGGAAAAUAACAGAUACAGUUACAACAUGUUAAUUUACUAUUUACAAUCCACCUACCUAAGAGGAAGUAGAUUCUUCCAGUAAUUUUUGCUAUCAAAAAUUAAACACCAAUGUAAACUAUUUUCUUAACUAUAGAAAGACAUGCACAAAUGUACCCACAUACUAACUUAUUUAUAAAAAUAUUUAACUUUUUCUGUUUAGGGCUGAUGUAUGUUUGUCUGACCACAUGAAAGGUUUAAAUAUUAGGGUACAGUGCACUUAAUUUUGUCUCUGGAUAGCUCUGGAAGAAAGGAUAGUUUCAUAUAUUUUUAUAUGACAAGAAAUUAUGGAAACAGAACUCUAGAACUUUAAUAAAUAACUAAUAGGGAAAACUAUUUCAAUAUUUAGAAAAAUUUACUCACAUUGUACAUAAUAUAAAAAUAAAAGACAUUUAUCUCACAUUUGCAAAAGUUUCCCUUCUGCUAAAUGACAAAUAUAACAAUAUUAAACAGUCAUUGUUGACAUUGAUUUGAUUAUUAGUAACCUCUUAUUCUGAAGAUUACAGUAACCCAUUGUAGAUUAUUUCAUUUGAUUCUGACAUAUCCCAUAUUAUAAAAGGAUAUUAAUUUUAUAUUAUUAUUUCCAUUUAAAAUGUAAUUAGUCAAAAUGUAUUUUAAGUAUUAUUUAUACAUAUAAUUUUAUAUAUUAUUGACAUAUAUAUUUCAUGGUGAUUUAUUUCAAUGUUUCUAUACCUGUUAAAUCAAGUUAAUAAAAAUCAAAUAGUGAUAUAUUUCAAAGUAGAUUCAAUAAAAAAUAUCAAUCAAUGCUCAAAAUUUUAGUUUUCCAAUAUUCUUUCCUAUUAGUGAAGGUAAACACCCACUAUUGCAUUGUUCAAUAUUAAUGCCCAGUGACUGACUGGAAUAUAGGUGUCCAUCAAGAGCCAAUUUUAUCCAGUUGCAGCAAAGUUGCUCCAGGUGACAGAACUGGUAUUUGCAAACCUGGGCAAUAUUUAUUUACCUGCCAUAUAAAGACAAAACCUGAUGAAAAGCUUAUGGAUUUACCACCAAAAAGAAGGUAAUAAGGGUUUUGGUACUAACAGGAGAUAAAUUAUAAUAUGGACCCGUAAUAUGCACAUCUUAGAACCAUGGCAUUAAGGAAUAGAAAACUGUAAAUGGAGUAAAUGAAAAGAUAAAAUGCAGUUGGAUAAAUUUAAAUCUCAAAUAGAAAUAUCAAGAUUCCAUUUAGCAACAUUCAACUCUUUCUAUAAGCAGUAUUCAAGGUUCUCAGAAGUUAAUUUUCAAGGCCAUGUUGAAUAAAAUUCAUUAGGUAUAUUCUGGGAUUAAAAUGUGAUAUGAAUAGAAAACUAUAUAGUGAGAUAUUAUUAAAUAUCACUUUAUAAAUCACCACUAAUUUUAUUGUUUAAGGUAGGAAAUAUUUUUAUUUAAAACAUAGUUAGAAAUGAAUUCUAUAUAUCAUUUUUCUUUGAUUUUUCUAAGUCCAUCAAUCUCCAGAAGCACUAGUAGUCUCCACCCAUGAAAAUGUACAAAAUAAAUGCUAGUUAUAAUUAUGAUUUUAGUCAUAUUAGUGUCUUUUGAAAUUUUUAUCCCACUUUAGUCUCAGUUUCUUUUUUGUUUUCUUAUUUAUUUAUUUAUUUAUUUAUUUUGGUUUCUGUGCCCAUUUUUCUCCAUUUUCUUGCUGAAACAUUUUCUCAGAUGUCUCAUAAUCCUUGAUUUUCUGAUCAUGAUAAAGAACAGGGGGAUUAAAUGAUGUUAGGAAGUGUGGAUAUGAUUGUGCAACCUUGAGUGUAGUAUAAAGUAAAUUAAUGUUAUUCUUUUGUUUAGGAGUGCCACAUUUUAGUAUCUUUGUAUCAUUUUUCUUGUCUUAUGAACAUUCACUAGGAAAUAUUUUCUAAUCUCCUGUGUAAAUGAUAAAGAUUUAAGUGGUUUCCAGAGACCUGGCAGCAAAACUGGAUGAGAAGUGAGGAAGAAGUGACCUAGAAAUUCUCAGCAUUCAUCAUGUAAUGUGUGCAUGGUCCACAGUCAAUUAAUAUCUCUUCAACUGUGCCUGUUACUUCCUACUUCAGAGACCUAAUUUACCUUAUCUAGAAUGAACCAACAGGUGUCUACUGGAGUGUGAGAGAGUCAUUCCCUUCUACACGUACACUGGAUAAUUGAUCUAGAGAUUUGAUGGCACUCAAACUUGGAAGUGAUAAACACAUUUGUAUUGAUAUAUUGAAAUGAUUACCCAACUCUUUGGUUUAACCAUCUCUUUUGUACAGAAUUCUACAAGUACCUGUAGCUAACACUUCCUAAAUUUUUGAGGAUCUGUGAAUUAAAUCUAGUAGUUUUUUAGCUUUAUCCCAAAGCCUGUUUGAGAUUCAGUUUUCUUAGUUCUACUAAAUUAUCCCUAAUUCAUUUGCUUUCAACCUUGAAAAUGUUGUUCUAUUCUCUCCUGUUCUCUGUCCUUGUAGAUCCUAUUGGGGUUUCAGAGGAAUUGAAAUUAGAUGUGUAUAAUGAAUCUAUCAUCUUAUUAUCUUCUGUCUGCAGAGCAAACCAUUAGGGUUUAUACAUUUAGAAAAUGUAGAAUAGACUUCAUUGCAGAAAUUCAAAUAAAAACUACAUUUAAUUUGGAAAUAAAAUGCAUUUUAAUUCUUUAAAAAAUUAUAACAAAAUAUAGAUACAAUAAAAUAAGAUUUUUUUAUUGUUCCCAGUUUGACAAUUACCCUUUAAUGAAAUUUUGAAAGUCUAAAACAUUUAUUUUAUAUAAAGUUGAUACUUUUGACAUCAAAUACAGAGGCCUUUUUUCCUAUUCAGUAAGUUUGGAAAAUAAUUAGAAAACCUUUAAAACCCAUUCUGGCCAUAGGACAGUCAUUUUAAAUAAUCCCAAGUGAAGCAGGUAUGAAAAUUUCUGGGUAUUAAUGACAUUUUUUUUAACAGAAAUUGAGAUUGGCAUUGUUCAAAACCAAGAGAAAAAUGGAGUUAAAGGAACCUGGUUAUAUAGUGUGACUGAAUGGGACAAGGAGCACAAAUGUACACUAUCAAAAGGAAAUUGUGUUCUGUUGGAAUGAAAUGAGAUGGAAAGUAUAUU